UGAAACAGAAGUAAUGCAUGUAAAAAAGAUCUGUUUCUAUAUGCGUUUCUAUAUGCAUUUUCAACAUACAAAACUGACUUAGAAAGUUUUGACUAUUGAUGACUUGUUUUUUUGCCAAGAAGAAUAGUCUAUGAUUCGAUAUCUGACUUGCGUUAAUGGAUGCGUGCCGGUAAGUUAUAGUCAUACAUAAUGAGAAAGAUAAAACAACUCAAUAUAAAUGUCAAAUCUAACUCAGUUUAUACCACAGGUAGAAAAGCUAACAAGCCCGAACAUUGAAACCUAAUAUAGCAAAACCAAAACAAACAAGCAGAAUAAGCACAAAUCAUAACAUGCAUUAGACAUUUGUCUACAGCUGUAUAUGUAAACUAGAGGGGGAAAAAAGAAGAUGCAAUUAUAUUCCAACAAAAGGUUCCAUAGCAUACCUUUAGUUUGUGCAUUAGGCCACUCCCAAAUUAGUUGUAAGCGCAAAGUCCUUCGCCAAAUCUUCCAAUCCAACUGGAUGCUCAUUCAAUGCCAUCCCUUGCAUGCUUGAAAAAUCGGUGCUAGAAAUAGUAUUAAUUGCAGAACUGUUUUGGGAAGCCAAGCUCUGGAAUUUGGCACUACCAUCAAAAUCAUCCUUCAAAUUAAAAUCCAGUUGCUUUUCCACAGAUUUGAUCAUCGAAGUUCUUUUCGAUCUCAACCUAUACGGAGGGGUAAUAUUAAUGCUCUUUCCCUCACUAGAAUGACUUGUCGAUUCUUUGAACACCUCCUGGUUACUUCCACUUUCCCGUCCUAUUGGAGAACAAGCACUAUCUUGAUCCUUCCACUCAUUUGUUUGUGUAUUGCUAUCAAGAGGAAGAGGCGUCUGUGUUUCCCUUUUCCUCCUCCGUAUUAUAGAUGGAGUAUUAGGAUAGCUCAUAGCUGCGCUCUUCAGUAUGGAUUCAGCACUCAGCUGAACCGAACCCUUUUUGAACCCGCAUGGAGGGGUGAGAUAACCAGCGGGCGAUCGAACCACGUCCGAGCUGUAGGCAUGCAGUAUAGGACUGUAUGCUUUAAAGAGAGAACCAAAAUCUUCUAAUUGAGGCGGCUCAUAGUAAAGAGAGCCAAAUGGAGAGUCUUCACUAAAUAACAUCCCUCUAGUUCUUUUGCUGGCUUGAUCGGUUUCAGCCGUGUUGCUAAUUUCUGCUGAAUCAUCUACUGAAUCACCCUUACUAGAUGUAUGAUCAGUUUCAUGAGGCAGAAUUCUGCAAUUAAUAGAAGAAUCGUCAAGUCCUCUCGCCGAUUCACCUGUUGAAUUACUUGGAGAAAAAAGUUGUAACUCUUCCUUGCAAUUUUCCAUAGUAGCCAAUUCUGUAGGUGGACUAAAAUGUGCAGAACCAGAACCAGUAGUUCCUAGUAAAGAUUUGGUAUUUUUGGGAUAAACUUGCUCAUUAACUAGUUUUGGUACAUCCUUGGUACCAUUAUUCAAAGCAGGCUUCGGAACUGGUGGGAGCUUACCAGUUUGCGAGUAAAAUUCUAACUUUUUCUUUAACGAACUAUUCCAAUGGUUCUUAAUGGAAUUAUCAGUCCUGGAUAGCAGAAAAGGAAAAAAAGAUCAAUUUAAAACAAUAUAGUGAUAUGCAAGCUAAGGCAAUUAGUGCAAUCUAAAGAAUAUAAGAAAUAACUUAGCCCCCAGUAUUUGUUCACAUAAAAUAAGUAGAGGAUCAGCAAAAAGUUAUUAUCACAAACAGAACUUGCUAAGAAAAAUGACAAUGCAACAUGAAGGAAGCAGAGCAAAUUAUACCUAUGUUAUAAGAUAGAAAUCAGUAUAGAGAAUCAGUGGUAAAUUAAGAUAGGGAUGGUUUUGUAUCAUUGUCAUAUAUUUGGAAGGAUGAUUGACAUUGCCAAACUUCAAUGAGUGACAAAAAGAUAUCUGGCAAUAUAUAACAUGACAUGUUUAGAAUGGAGAGUAGAGUAGAAAGGAAUUGCAAAUUAGCAAAUGAAUUUUUAGGGAGUUUUGAAAAUUGAAAGUGUUUUGAAGGCCAAAAGUUCGUUCAUCAUAACGAAUUCAGGAGAAAACGCAUCUAUAUGCAUACAAUACAGGACAACUACAUUCGAUGGAGACAUAUGUAUAUAUCAAUGCUUUUAAGUAUUUACUCUGUGAUCUUGUAUUUAGAGAUACAUCUAUAUCAAUGUUCAGGAGAUAAGAGAUCCUUUUGAUAUUCAGUAAACAUUACCAUAAGGACAACAAGUUAUAGAUAGGAGUAGUGUUUUCUCCACAAAAGACUUAACACAAUAGGCAAAGAAGCACAUGAAAAAACAUUCCAUGAAAACCAAUACCUUCCAGGUAGGACCUUUGCGAUUUCUGCCCAUUUGUUUCCAUGCACACGAUGAGCAUUGAUGAGUGAGAUCUCUUCGUCUGCAGUCCAAGCAUCUUUCUUUAUUUUAGGGUUCAAAUGAUUAUGCCACCUAAGAGAUGUUAAAAAUAUCAAUUAAUUUAGUUCAGCAUAUCCAAUAGAACUGAUAUAUAAUGUGAAUGGAACUUAAAAUUCGCAAUUCAUGUAAGAUCUUCUAGAAUGAACUUUAAGCAUCUAAGAGUAGGCUGGCAUCUGAAUUCUUUCACUUAAAAACAUGAAAAUGUAUGAAGGACGAUGGUUAAUAAAAGUGGUCACAAAAUGAAGACUUGGUAUAGAAAACAUUAAUGUAUGCAAACCAACAAUAGAGCUAGUAAAUAGAUUAACUCAAAUAGAGGAGAGAGACAGAGAGAGCAAUGAGCAGCCUCUUUUUAAAAUCAACCACCUACAUUAACACUCUUUCCUCUUCGAAAUAGUAAUAGUAGUCAAAUAAUAGUAAGAUCAUAACAAUAAAGUACCUCUCUCGGCAUUGUUUGCCAAUGCGACCAGGUAAUGACCUUGCAAUGACAGACCAUUUUGCUGGUCCAUAUUUCUUUACAAGUUCGAUGAUUAUCUCAUCUUCCUGUCAAACCCAAAGAAGCAUAUUGUAAUUAAAGAUAGAAAUGUGCUAAACUAUCUAUUAAUAGGAUGUUAUGCCAUGAACAAACCUCUGGAGUCCAAGGACCUUUAAUAAGUUCAGGAUUGAGAACCUUUUGCCAUCUAUGAAGACAUUGCACUUCUGUCCUAUCCGGGAAAAAUUCAGCUGCAUAGGGAAGAGACAGCUCUUCAACUUUCCAAAUCUUCUAAUUUGAGUAUCGAAAUCUAUGAUAACUAGUUGAUUUUGCAAAACGAAAUAGAGAUAAAUAAAAAAAGAAUGAGGACAAAACACCAUGUCAAACUUACGCAACUACGCAACAACCAAUAUACACAUAAAUGAUUUUACUUGGCAAGAAAUUGAAAUCCAAUUUUCAUACUCUCCCAAUACAAAUUCACUUGAGAACAUGGAAAACAUAAUUGGAAAGCAAUUCCCUGGUGAUGGUAGAAGUUUCUACCAUUUCUCUUUGUUGUAUUGGAAUUGAAGAGUUACAGAUUGGUUUCAGUACAUAAAAGACAUGAAAUCAGAUCAUAAAGGAGAAAAACUGACCUAUUUUCUUCCAACAUCUUCCUUUGUAAGCUUCAACUGCUUUCCUCAGCGUCUCAUCCUGUGACAUGUAUGUAGUAAGCAGGGAAAGUUUGCUAGGCAGCGAUUACGAAAAUCAAGACAUAUAUGAAAAAAUAGUUGUUAUUUGAGCAGUAAAAUAGCUUCAAUUCUGAACAAAAUGCAAUAGUUGCACAGGACUUAAAGUAAAAAGUCCAAUCUACACUAAUACCCAAAAAAAAAAAAAGGUAAAAGAGUCAUGCUAAAAGAAUGGAUAUAGCAUGCUGACCUCUUGGGGGGUCCAGCCACCCUUAGCUCGCCUUAUGGGGCCAGUAGUCCUCCUAGAUAUGAAUAGGAAUAGAUCAUUACUCACCAUAAAAGAGAAUAAGAAAUGGAUAUUUAACCCAAAUUCCAAAGUUUUGCACAAACAAUAAAAUGUCCAGGCAUGAACCAUAGCCAAUGCGAUACAAACUCAGAUUAUCAGAAUCAACUGAAAAAAAAAAAAGAACACUAACAACUAGUAUGUUCGAAGAUCUAAUGCGACAUAGCAGCUAUACAAUUAGCAGAUCUUCAAAAAGAGAAAACACAAUUACUACUUCAUAGCAGAGAGGUAGGAAUUUUGAUCUAUGUACAAGUGAUUAUCUUUUCUAACAGCUCUAUAGCAAAGACACAACCAAUGAACAAUGUAGUAAUUCUACUCGAGAAAGGGAAAGAAGUAACUUUUCUACUACUUCCUUGCAGCUUUUAAACUUAGCAACUUUUCACAGUACAUUAAAAGAUAAGUGCGACUACAAUACAAGCUCGAACUAAGUUAGUAGAAUCUCAUUAUUAGUGAGGCACCCUUAAAUACUUUUCAACUAGAAAUUAGGUUACUUCUUUGAGUUCAGUAAAUUUAAAUUCCAUGGUUGAUGUAGCUCUUCCUUUUGAGCUUGAAGACUAAUGUUCUACUCUCAUUACCUUCGUAUUAAAGAAUUGAGAUAAGCAGCAAACGGAAGGAUAUAUCUUUCCAAAGGGCUGAGUAAAACAUGACAGCAGAACAAAAAAAUUUCCCGACACUUAAGUUACAGAGUCCUACAUGACUUAUGUAAGAAAACAGUAACAACAGUGAAUCGGUACAUGCUGUUCUUCCAAACUAUGAACACCUUAAAUCUGCAUUUAUACUAAUUCACCUUUCAACUGGAUGAGAAAAAGGAACAACAAACCCAAGCAAUCAUAGUUUUAUAACAGAAUUCACCACUAAAGUAACACUAUCAUGCUUAAAAAUUGAAACUUUACUCAACAAACGAACCUAUUCCAAUCAACAAUGUAAAUUAAGCUGGAAAUGAAUAGGCUGUAGAACUAGAGCAAGACAUAAACACGAUCCAAAUCCAAAUUCAGCAAAUUGAACAUUACUUAUGGGAUGGUGAAGCCGUAGGCGGGCUCGAAACAGCAGGGGACAUGCUUGAAAGCCCACAGCUCCCAUCGGAUAGCGAGGGGCUCGACGCGGCCGUCAAUUGCUUGUUCUCCACGCAGCCCUGCUCGAUCUUCACAGCCGCCAUCGCCUCCAUCUAUCAUCUCCCCAACUCCAUAGCAUCAAAAGUCAAGAGAUAACCCCCCAAAACCCUACCUUUACGCCAAAACCGAGAUCCCAACGUCCGAAUCCCAAUUCAAAGGCCAAAAAAGCUCCCCAAUCCAAACCAAACCAUCUAGAAACAAAACCGAAAGGGAGCCCACGAUUCCUAGGGUUUCGGAUCGAUAAAACCGGAGGAAUCGAAGCGGCAGGGGAUCGAAACCGCGGCGGCGGCGCGAUCCGCGGAGGUCGGUGGGGAUUCGAAAGCUUAGUAUCGAUCGCCCGAGAGGGAAACCCCCCUCAGAGGAAUCGAGGAGCUCCACGCGCGGGGAGGUGGCGCGAGGGCGAAGCUAAAGAGGUUCGAAACCCUCGAAUCCACGAAACCUCGCCCCGCCCCUUCUCUCUCUCUCUCUCUCUCUCUCCUCUCUUUCUCUCUCUCUCUAACGACUCGAAGAAGCCUUUCAAAAAACCUCGCCCGUUGAAGGAAAGAGGAGAAAAGGGAAAAUUAAAAAAAAAUUAUUGCGUAGAAUUUACACAUACUCCCUGUAUUAUCAUUCCGUGAUAACUUACUCCCUAUUUAACAAAAGAUCAAAAUUUUGAAUAAGAUUAGCAUUACUUUUUAGUGUCAUAUUCCCAUUUAGAAUGAUCAGGAUAGGGACUAAAUUGCAAUAAUAAAAGUUUCAGAGACUAAACUGUUUUAAUUUAAAAGAAUAUGACAGUGCUGCAAUAUGUUUCUAGUACAAGGGCUUUUCAUACAAUUUUUAUCCAAAAUAUUAUUAUUAAAUUAUUUUUUACUGGAAGGGAAUUAAACAAAUGAAGGAAAGGGAUCUGCGACGGAGACUUAACGGAGCCGUUAAAUUAACCACGAGGGCAAGAGCGAAAGGCGCGUAACGGCUUCUAACGGCGUCCGGUGCCGUUGCGUGGCGAGUUUGAGUGUUUGAAACCUCAAACGGCACUCUCCCCGACUUUUAUGGUGGGGGGGAGUUAAGGGGCCGUUGGGAGCCGUUCGAUCCUUCGCGGGCUCAUUUGAGCCGUUGGAUCGAAACUGCGGACGCGAGAUUUUGUAUUAAAUUACUGAGGGGGGGGCGUUUUUUAUUAAAAUAAAAUAUUAUUAAGGGGUUAUGAGAAUUGAGAGGGACGGCUUAACUGUAAUGGCUUUAAUGCGAUAUUAAAGGAUUAAGAAGUUGGGAUUUUAAUUAGGGGAUAUAUAAUAAUUAUUUUAUUUUAUAUAAUUUCAUUAUUAUUAUUAUUAUUAUUAUUAUUAUUAUUAUUUUGAAUUAGUACGCAAAUCAUAAUUCAUAUUAUCCAUAAUAAUUUUUGAAAUAAAUUAAAUUUAAGGUUCAGAAUAUCUAAUUAUCAUAACAAUUUGGAAUUAUGGUUGGACCUAACAUCAUCAACAAAACUCUUGCAUGAUACAUAAGUGCAUAAUAUAAGCUCAUUGGAUCAAAUUUCUAUAUAAUUGUCAUAAUAAAAUGGAUUAGUUUACGAUAUGUACAGAGUUUGAUAAAUUAUCCUUUAUAUAUAUAUAUUCUUUGUAAAAUCUAAAUCUUUGUACGCAUACUCUUUAGAAACCCAAACCCAAAUUCUAUGUAGAAAUACACCCUUUGCAAUUAGAAAGCCUUCAUGUUGAUAAAACUUACUUUUAGCUACAUCUAAUGGGUGCCAAGCUACAACUAGUAUAACAGUUAGAUACUCAUAUAUCAACUAUAAUACAACUUUUUGAUAUAGGUUUAAUUUAGAAGUCAUCUAAGAUCAAAGUCUUAGUUAGGCCUGCACCUUUUUUAGUUUCGACUGGACCAUGCCAACUUGUCCCAUAACUUCUAUUAGUCUCGCGCGCCCUCACCCACGCCCGCCUGGGCACACACAUGAACCAAAAGAAGAACCUGCGCGCACACAUGAACGAAAAGAAAGAAAGAAAGAAAGAAAAUAAUGCCACACCAUGACUCUCCUGAGUCUACAUUUCUAAAAUCAGAUUUGAAUUCUCAAUUUCCCUGUACGCAAUUUUUUUUAUAUAUGGAAUCUAAAUAUGCCUUUAUAAACUUUUGAGCAUCGUUAAAAAAUACCACCUGAUUGUUGAAAGGAGACGAACAAAACACUCAAAAUCUACAUAAAACAUGGUUCUCUCGGGAGAGAUUUAUUUACGAUUUAAUCAAUUUUGUGCUAUUUUGAACGUUUAAAUGGUAAACUUAAAGUGGAGUGAGAGCAAUCCAAACAAACACUCAAGACUCAAAAUAUCUUCAAAAUUGACAUGUGUCAUUGUUCCCCACAUUCAUUAUAUACUCAAAUAUGUAUUAGCUUAGCAGGUCGAGGGAAAAGCAGAGUAAUUAACGAAUAAAAGCACAACAAAUUAGCUAACAAAAGUUACAACAUUACACCACAGCAGCUCGCUAUUUAGAUCUACACCUUUUAACCCCGAUUAGCAAGCGAGUCUAAUCCACACUUUUUUUAAAAGAACUUUUAUAAACUUUAAUUUUAAUUUAAUAGUCUAGGAACUCCAAAAGUUACAAAAGCUCUGUGGAGAAGCGCUUCCCAGCAAAAGGGUGAGGGAAAAAGAAAAAGGCAGAGUUCGGUAGCCUCGAAUCCCCGGCCAUUCCCAUUAUGUAAUUUAAUUUAAUUCCUCACGAGGUGUACUUGCAAUUCCCAUAGCCUGUAACAUAGCCAAAUCAAACAUUACUGCUUUGACUAAAUUAAUAACGAGCAAUAAUAAUAUGUUGGCAGUAAAAUUCAUAGAACCAUAAAUCAUUAUUUGCAAUUAAUGUCUUUUGAAAAUGAAAACUCUCUUUAUCCUAUGAGCUCAAUGGUGAAUGCGAGAUGAGUGUUAAAAUGAUACGGGAAUGAGGGAAUGAGUGGGUUACUGGGGUCAGUGGUGGUGACGACGCCGGUGCCGGAGAAGUAGCAGUCGAAGUCGUUGCGGCCGUUGGCCUGGAAGAAGGCGUUCAUGGCGAAGGCGGCGUGGGCCUGCAGGGUGUUGGGGAGGAAGCAGGCCCCGCCGUCCUGGAUGGGGCUGCAGUCCACGCCACCGCCGCCGCCGCCGCUGCACGCGUAGUUUAUGUUGCUCUGCAGCGCGUCCCCGCUCGCGUUCGACUGCGCCACGCACCACUUCCCGCUCCCCGACGGAGACGGGUUCGGCUCCGCGGCCUAAAAAAUAUACACAAAUAUACAUUCAGAAUAGUUGUUAUUGCGAUUAAAUCCAAUAGUAAUAUGAACAUUAAUAAAUAAUAAUCUAUGGAAAAGAGUGAAGGUGAUGGUUAGGAACAAACGGUACUAAUUAAUCGAUUAUUCUGAGCCCAUACGUGGUUAUGUGGGGUACGUAGGGAGGAGGAAAUCUUAUGGAACACGCGUUCCGAGCCUGGAUUCGCGCGCGCGCACAGCAGGCGUAAAGGACGAGGACGCGCAUCAAAGCAACGAUGGCUCGGGGCCGCCCAGGCCACACGAAUAAAGAAGCUUUGAUGCUCGCUAUGAUGUACCCGACCCGCCAACAUUGACUAGAAGCUCAUGGGUACAAUACAACGGACGGUUCCACCCAAUUAAAUCACCAUGAAAAUACCAAAAUCCUUAACACAAACACACACACACACGUGAAGAAAGCAAAAACCGAACCUCCUCCUCCCUAUUUGGUUAAUAGAGCUGUUGUUAAGCAAUUAUAUUUAGUAGGCCAUAGCACCAUUUUUUUUUUAAAAAAAAGGAAUAAUGCCUUUUUCAUAAAAGUUAUAUACCAUCUUUAGACUUAAUUUGAUAUUAAGAUAAAGUAAAGUAAGAAUAAAAAUAUAUAAAAAAAAAUGUUUUUUUUGUUUUCGGUAAAAUCAUAUAAAAUAUAUUGUAACCAAAUGAUCGCGAUAUACGUAUUAACGUAAUAUUAUGUCCAAAAGCAUAUCGUAACUCUACUCACCGGGUCGCGAAGAACGCCGGCGUCGUAGACGGCGGUUAGGUCGGGGCGGAAGAGGCCGAAGUUGCGCUCGGCCGUGGGCCCGGGCUUGAGGUCCUCGUUGAAGAGCGAGAAGACGUACGUCUCGAACGUCCGAUUGGGCAUCAACGGCGUGCCUUUCCCCGAGUUCACCAGCCGGAUCAGGUUCCCGUUGUACGCCGCCGCGUCAUCGCCGAGUACACCGCGUCCAGCUGCGCCUCGAACAUGUUCGUGUAGGUUAUCCCCGUCGCCGGGUCCAGCACCCCCGCGUUCGGCCUGAACAGCGCGUAGUCUAGGGUUUUGGGGGUGUAGCCGAAGUAGGGGUAGGGGUUCACCACGAAGGGGCUCUUCGUCUUGCGGUGGAAGUCCAGCAUCGGGGCGAAGAUGACGCGGUCGUAGCCGCGGCGGAACCGGCCCGUGGAGGGGGCGUCGGAGGCGGAGAGGAUCCCGAGGGAGUGCGGGGUCGAGACGCGGAUCUCCGGGAACCCCGCCGCGGCGAGCGCCGCGGAGAGGGCGCGCAUGGCGGGGACGAGGCGGGCGAUGAGGGUCCGGUCCGCGGUCGCGAGGAUCUCGUUGCCCACGGCGACGAGGGAGAUGUUGGUGGCCGGGUGGAAGGGGGCGACGUUCGCGGCGACCCACGCCGCGGCCCCGGAGGGGGCGGCGAGCGAGGGGAUGACGCCGUUGGGGGCGGUGAUCAUCACGGAGAUCCCCGUCCCCGCGAAGGCGCGGAUGAAAUCCGGGUUGGAGUCGAAGAGCUUCACGCGGUCCACGAACGUGUGGUCGCGGAGGAACGCCGCCGUGCGAGCCGGCGCCGAGAGCAGCGCGAGGAGCUCGAACACGGCGGCGAAUCGGAGGAGCGCUAGGGUUAGGGUUUGCGGCGGAGAAAGCGACGCCAUUGGAGAGGGAUUGGGCGAGGAGUUGCGUGGAGUGAGGCAGAAGCAGAGAUACAGCAGCAGGGUUCAAAAUAGUAUCCCCAUUUUAUUUUAAUUUAAUUCCGCGUUAUGAUAAAGACACCCCCUUUUCCACUUUUUUCCCAUCCGGGAAAAGGAAUAUAAAAAGGGGCGCUUUUACUGAAAGGGGGUAAGUAUAUCGAAAUUACAAUUAAGUAACGUAAGAGGUUGUAGUACGUUGACUGGUUUGACCCCUGGGCGGUGCCACGUGGCGAUGUGGACGAUGUCGGUUCCAACUCGGUAAGCUUACCUCCCCCUCCGUUAUUUUCGUGCAGUUUUAAAGUAAUGGUGGCGUGAUUGUGGGGUACGUGGGGGGCGUACGUGGUUCGUCGCAUUCGAGCCUAAGAUUUAUCCAAUUACACGAUUAGGCUCGCCAAAAGUGACGAGCCCAAAGUCCAAGCCGUGCUUAGAAUGGGUUCGGGGGGGAUGUGUCAAGCGUGUGAAGUGUUUGACCAAAUCGAGUGUCCGGAGACGUGAUGUGGUUGCUCAUUACGAGUUGCCACAGCAAACAGCUUUUUCAUCCAGUGGGAAUCCGACACGCGGGCCAUUCUCUUCUCCGAGGCAAAAUUGGCCCAAGUGGAUUGAAGCUCACAUGUUCGAGGAAAUAUCUCAGAGAACGGUUAAUUUACUUAGCAUCAGGUACUUUUCUCUUCCCUUUGUUUAUUGCGCAUUUGAUUCAAAUUUUUUUGGGAUGAUUUUGUUGAUAUCUUAUAGCAAUUGAAUCAUCUAAUUGUUUUGCAAAUUAAUGAUUAUAGUAAUGGUAAUAUGUUUAACAUGAUAUGUCCUACUACACAUUGUCUUAUGAUUAAAUCAAAUAUUAAACCCCUUUUUUUUCGUUUUUGUAAAUCAAUGGUAGUGGAGUUAUCCAUUAGUGAUGAGAUCCCUAAGGUCAAACUACUUUUGAUUAAAGGAUGGAUAAAAGAACAGGAUUAGAGAAAGGAAGAGAUGAAAAAGUGUGGUUUUAAAAGCUAUAUAUGCUUUUCGCCUAUUGUGUCUAAAGCUUUGAUACUUAUUUGUUGCUUCAAGUUAGAAAAUGAAAAAGGAAACCAAGAGAUGCAAAGCUGAGUAUUCUUCCGCUUUUGUGCGUUUGGUGUCUCAGUUUAUGGUCCUCUGUAAUUUGAGUAUAUUUGGCGCUGCUGUAAUGAAAAGAAUCACCUGAAUUAGGAUCUUGUUCAUGUCAUAAAAUUGUGAGAAAAUAUGUAGUAAGACAAUCUGAGACAAAAGUUGGUCCAUGUGAGUUCUUAAUCGCCUUAGCUUCUAUCACAGCCUUUUUUCAUGUUUUUCUUUUCUCUUCGCGAAAUGCGAAUAUCGUGAUCCACUAACCCAACUUAGAUUUGUAACUGGGUUAACCAUUUGGAUUGCUUUUUGGUAUUUUUUCCACUGAUUCCAGAUGAAGCACCUGAACAUCCCAGUUUCGUUCGGAGAACUUAGAAGGAGAGUAUAACAUACAUAGUCACUCAAAUCGAUAGCUAAUGUUCUAAGUAGAAUUAAAAGAUUUUUGUUUUGAACUGUGAAAUACUUGAUCAAGCCAUUAACCUUUAAUGGUGAGGCAAGUGCUCAGACCUUUACUUUGAAGUAAAAGGGGAAGAAACUCGAGACUCAUAAUAUAAAGCUUUUUGACCACUUUUCGUUAAAGUGGGUACAAUUAACUCAUCAGGGACUUCCCUUGUAGAAUCAAAAAUCAGAAUUUAUGUGGAUUCGCACGAGUAUGUGAUGUCUUAAGAAAGAAUAUAUAUCUUCUUAACUAUUUACAGCACUCAUUAGAGGAAGAAGAAUCUCUCGAAGUAGAAGUUAACUCUGGCAUUGUGGUCCUGUUGUGCGUAUAAUGAUCAAGGAUAUCUUAUUGAGAUUUUAUCAUAGAGUCAUCUACGUAUCUAAGCAAAUUUGCAUAAUUGAGUAAGAAACUGCUCUUAGUCGGUAAGCUAACUCAUUAGAAUUUUGUGAAUUUUGACAAAAUAUUCUGGAAACGAUAGAACGGAAAUGGGAUAAGUAGUUCAAUUUUCCUUUAAUGUAUUAUUGUUUUUUUUUUAGAGAGAGAGAUAGGUAGCACGCAACUCGCUUCGUUUAUUUCAUUUAGAAAUAAACUUAGCUGGAAAUGUGAAUCAAUUAGGAUUCGAACUUGGGACCUCGAGUACCAACCACCAAGCCCUUUGCCACUUGCACUAGAGACAGUCGGUUAAUGUAUUAUUGUUUGUUCAAGAAAUUUGAGUUUUGUGAGACACAGUUCCACUUUGUAGAGAUGGAUGCCUUCUCUGAAGGCCUGCGCAGCAGGCAUAAAUUGUUUUCUUACACUCAUACUAUCCGUCGCUCAAUAGAAAAGAGCUUCUGCAGCUUCUGUUUCUGCCGUAUAAGUUAUCGACUGCUUGCUAUGCCAGCAUAAGAAGUUCAGAAAACUAAGUUGCGGUGGAAUUUAAAGAAAGGGACAAAUAUGUUUGCGAAAUUUCUCACUAUGUAUAGCUGUGUAUUAUUUCAGAUUCAAACCACCAUUGAUUUAUCAGCAACAGGACAAAAUGAGAAGCUUCACCUGCACUGAGAAUGCAUAUACAUGUUGCAAAUUUAUUAUCAAUAUUAAAUUGUUCAACAGAGCCAUUGCCAGGUGUAAAUUGUGGAUUACUCUCAAAUAGAAUACUUAAUUACAUAGGGGCCAUUUUACGGCCUGUACCUACUUGCAUUAAGUAUUACUUCUACCUAAUAACAGCAGUAUGUGUUCUUACUUUUUAUGUUCAGGAAAAAUGAUGCGCAAUGAAGAACCAAAAUCGCGGCUAUCAAUCAAAGGCUAUUAUUGCUCGGAACUGGAAUGAUUCGCCAACACGCAACCUAAUUAAGUUUUAUGUACUAAUUCUGGUCUGAAGGUAUGUCUUAUUUUUUCUAAAUAAGCUUUCAUCAUCAUCAUCAUUAUUAUUAUAAUUCAUUAUUCUACCUGGUACGUUUUACAAGCUAUAAUUCGUGAAUGCAUUACAAUAGGAACCCUCUUUCACCUGCGUGUGAGUUUCGACAAAAUUAUUGAUUAGUUACUGAGUAAUAACUUUAGAUUAAAUUUUCUAUUUUUGAAGUUUUAGAAGCUCAGUACUUUAAGCUCAGUGUCGCGAUAAAAGUAACACAAUUUUUUUGCUUUUCUUAGAGCCGAGGAAUUGUUCUAAAUUAUAGCCCAACAAAUAAACUGUUGGACAACCAACAAAAUGUAAAUUAAAAAAAAAAAAAAAAAAGAAGAAGAAGAGAUGUUCCAACAUUCCGACCCAACUUUUCCCACCACCAUGUGUUAAAGAAAGCGACAACAUUCAAACUUAAUACGAACUUACCAACAAAGAGUACGUGAAGCUUACAAAUAAUCCCCAAUAUAAUUCUGGUAAUGCAAAUUGAUUCUUAUUCUUGUUUUAUUCAAGCACUUUAAUUCUCAAUAAAUUUUUACAUAUUAUACCGUACUCCAGUUCUCGCCGUAAGAAAAUUUGGAACUUUCUUUUGUUGUAAACUAGACUCUGGGUAAGAUGGUUGUUUCAUACGAAAAUUAUGUUUCUUAGGACCAACCAUGAAAGCUAAAUGCAAUAUUUAUUAUGUAUAAAACUUGGUAAGCUACAACAUUUAAAGUGAAAAACAUGAGUUAUCCACUCAUUUAUUAGAUACUAAUAAAAAUUACGGAAACACACGUCCUUUUCCUUUGACCAUUUUAUGUUUUCCUUGUUAGGAAAAAAAAAAAAGAGAUAAAAACAGCAAGGAAAUUUUAAAAUAAUAAUAAAAAAAAAAAGAAAAGUUGGCCUAAACAGCAACCUCCCUUAGCCCUUAAACAUCCCUGGAUCCCCCACGCUCCACCAACUAUUCCAAAUUAAAAGAGAAAAAAAAACCUUUCAUGGCCGAGGAAGAGGAGAAGAAGACGAAGAAGAAGAAGAAGAAGCAGCAGCAUCAUCAGCAUCCCCCUCCCCAAAACCCUAACCCUAACACCCAAUUCCCCUCCUUCUUCUCCUCCGCCGGGGCGAAGAAACCCUCGGCCUCGGCAUCGGUCUCGGCCUCGGCCGCGGAGGCGCAGUUCAAGGCGAGCUCGGAGGUGAAGGGGCUGCGGUUCGGGGGCCAGUUCGUGGUGCGAUCGUUCACGGUGCGGCGGGCGUCGCCGCUGGAGCUGCUGCGGCUGCUGGACAUCCCGGCGGCGUUCCUGGCGCGGUGCGCGAGCCUGCCGUUCCCGUCGACGACGACGUACCUCCCGACGAGCUUCACGAUCCUCGCCCACCACGCGUGGCGCACGCUCACGCUGGGCCUCGGCACCAACAAGUCCAAGGCGCUGGUCUUCGUCUUCGAGUCCGAGGCCAUGAAGGCCGCGGUGGACCAGCUCUGGCCCCCGCUCGUCCCCCUCGGCGACGUCAACAAGAAGCUCAUCCGGGGCCUCACCGGCACCGACAUGGCGCGCUUCAAGUUCCGCAAGGGCUGCCUCACCCUCUACGUCUACGCCGUCCGCCGCUCCGGCGCCGUCGGCUUCGCCUGCGCCGACGAUCUCCGCCGCGUCCUCGAGGCCGUCGUCGCGCUCAAGGACUUCCUCGACCACACCGCCAUGCUCGCCCUCCCCACCCAGCGCUCCAUCGCCUUCGCCCCCCCCACCGCCGUCGCCAUGGCCCACUGAUCCUCCCCCCUCCUCCCACCAGGUUCCAAACUCAAAUUCUUUACAAAUUUCUCUUCUUCUUCUUCUUCUUCUUCUUCUUCGAUUUUUGUGGAGCCUCCUCAACUACAGCCCAAUAUUUGAAAUUAGGCGCCCCCCUUUAACUUUGUUAUUAUUUUCAAUUUUUAAUUUUGACACUUCUAUUUUUCUUUUCUUUUUUUCUUCUUCUUUUGGAUUUUGAGUUUUCCUAGUUGUUAAGCUUCAAAUUUUUAUUGAGGUGAUAAAAACAUCAAUAAACGUGAUAAAGUUUUUAAUUUUAUUCUAUUAGAAUAGCUUAAUUUUGAAAGAUCUCAAAGAGUGAAGUUAAGAAGGAACCAUUUUAGGAUGAUCCGUCUUAUGGUUGAGAGGGUUUCUGUACAUUUUUUUCCUUUUUCACUUUGUCGAGUAGUAACAACUUGAUCUUUUGAAUAGUUCUCCUUUUUUUCCCCUUUUUUUUUUUUUUACUACUUUGAUUUUAAUGAGCAGUGAGGUAAUGCUGCUCAAAUUUGUUUUUUUUUUUAGUUAAAUUCUGUUUAUAGAGAAUUUAAUCCCCUUGUAUUAGGAUUUGCUCAUUGAGUGUGCGUAGAGCUGUGCUGUUCAGUCCAAUUUGUGUAAUUUUUGUGUCAUGAGACAAUUCUUUGUUCAUUUUGUUGUUCAAGCCUAUGUUCUCCAUGUGCAUGUAAUAUAUUAUUAUUAUGCUUCAAAAACCUCAGUUCUCCAUGUGCAUGUAAUAUUAUUAUUAUGCUUCAAAAGCCUCAGUUCUCCAUGUGUAUGUAAUAUUGUGCUUCAAAUUCUCCUCCUUUUUUUUAAAAAAGGGAAAAGAAAAUAUUUAGUGAGGAAUAGUACUAUCAAAAAUAGUGGUGGGGGUUUGAAGUUUAAACCCAAGAAGGAUUUGUAUCCGCCGAACAAAAGUGGUUAAGUGAUGGGAACAGCAUUCCAAUUUCCAGCGGGGGGAAAGUGACCUGGUGGUGCAGAAUCUUUUUUAAGAAAAGUGGAUGCUUUUGGGUGGGUAGCACCAGCAGGCAGGCAGCAGUCGGUCACCCUGGGAAGAGAGAGGGGGGUGGGAUGGGAUGGUGAGGAGAGUGUGAAUGAGGCGCCUGCUGCUGUUUCCUUUGUUUGGAAGGUGAGUUAGUGCUCAAUAAAUGUAUCUAUCUCUAAUAAAAGAGGGGAGGAGGGGAGGACCUGAGACUUUGUAAGUAAGCGUAGACGUAUUAUGAACUGCAGUAAAAAUAUGAGGGGAUAAAACUGUUCACCACUGCUAGGCAUUGCAGAUAUCCAGAACAUUAUUUCUUCUUCUUCUUCUUUUUUCUCUUUUUUGUAAAAUAAGAUAUCUAGACUAGAAGGUUUCCUCUCUUUUUUAUAGAACAAUUGAGCAGCCGCAACAUCAACAGAGAGCAAAACAAUACUGGUUUACAGACGAUCUGAUCUCCACAGAUUAAAUCUCGAAUAAACGGCGUUUUGGGGUGUUCGACGGACGGAAUAUUAGACACUCAUAGGGGAGGAGGGAAGGGAAGGGAAGUGGGGAGGAACAUCAUGCUCGGCAGGUGAUGAUGGGAGAAGGUGGCCUACCAUUACUGUCAAAGUAGAGAGAGAGAGAGAUAGAAAGAGAGAGAAGGGGAAGGAUAAAGAAAGGAAAUGAGGAGGUGGGUCUGGGGCCCGAAGAGGCAGGGGCCCAACAAUCCACCUUUCGGUCUAUCAAAGCGAGGACACGGACAUUUACUUACCUCUCUCACUCCCUCCCCCUCUCCAAUCUUCUCUAAUUAAAGCUAUUGCUUUUACUCCAUGCCAUGGCUGCUGCUGCUGCUGCUUUAUUCGCCAUAUAUAUAUAUAUAUUACUUAACAAGUGAGCACAAUCAUGGCGCAGAUGGGCUCCUGCAUGUGCAGAGAGAUAAGAAGUGCCUCCCCAAGAUUUUUUUUUUUUUCUUUUCUUUUUUUUGUGACCCUACCAAUAGACAUAUUAUUUAUAUGGACUGUAUAAUUUCUGUAUGAUUUUAUGUAAAAAAAUAAAACUGAGUCCACUAGNCUUUUUUUUGUGACCCUACCAAUAGACAUAUUAUUUAUAUGGACUGUAUAAUUUCUGUAUGAUUUUAUGUAAAAAAAUAAAACUGAGUCCACUAGUUUCAGUGCCACAACUGCAGAUAAAAGUAAACAUCAAAAUGAGAAGUUCCUGACUGAGCAGAUCGAAUUUUGAGUGGAAAAUGAAAUGAAUUGGCCCCAUUUGAACUCCUCUUAUUCACACCGCUACUAAUCUCAUAGAUACAAGUGGUCCAUGAUGCUAAAAUGUAUGCGUAAAAAUUAUCAUUACCAAUUGCCUCUUACUCCCCAAGUAGAGUUGUCCAAAAGAAUGAUUCACAUCCACCCUGGGUUUUUAACUACACCGGAAGAACGUAAGAGGGCGAGUAACUAGAAGCAGCAGCUAAUGAGGGUUGAUCAGUAAACCUGCAUGUGCAAAGAAUCAGAAGCAGCAUCUGUGGCGAAAAGAAAACACUAGUGCUGCUGCAAGAACCGAUCAGUUCCUCGUGCUCAAAAUUGACCUGAAUUCCACAACCAAUGGAGCUAAAACAUGGAGUAGAGGGUACUAAACAGAGAGUGAUGCAAAACAUAAGACCUAUUCACUUGAUGCGAGCUGAUCAAACAGUGCCGCGCAAUUAUAUGUGCACAACAUCACAACAUCAGAGUAAUGCUAUUGUCUCCGACAAGCUAAGUCUUAAAAGAGAAGGAUAUGAUACAUUGAUCUUCCAACAAGCCCUAGAUAAAGUAUAAAUAUUUUUCAAGGAAUUGAAUAGUUUCGAAGUCAGAACUGUAGAAGUUUGACCAAUAUACAAUAGACGAUGAGUUCAAGAUCCUAGAAGCACAUUUUCACAUACUAACGAUAAAUCAAUACAGGUUCCUCAACUCAAACAUGCCAAAUAACUUUCUUGAAUAAGGUACUAUUAAUUAGAAAAAUAAUUUUCUUGCCUUCAAACAAGCUGGAGAAUCUAAAUACAUAUGUUUCAUGUUGAAGUCAUGGAUGUUAUGCAGAUCACAAAAUCCAUUGCGUUUUUCAAAGUUCAAUUCGAGUAUACCACACCACUUCUUGCCAUACAUUUUGGGAGCAAAUGUAGGCGUUCCUAUUAAUUAAGAAAGCUACCUGAAAACCAGACUUACAAAAAAAAUUCUCAAUACUGUCGCCUAUUCAAUGAGAACAAAGCAUUCAUCAACGUAGUACUUUGCAAGCCCCAUGGUCAUUCCAUUAUGACCAGAUAAAUGAAGUUGCGAAGCAAGAGAGGGGCAAGGUUUCAAAUUCUACUUGUACGAGAGAUGUGUCGAUGAAGGCACACUAUCUAGAUAAAUAUGUUCAUAUUUUCCUGAUUUGUUCACAUUCUCCCUAACGCAGACAGCUCAUCAAAGGGACACAAAGAUUCAUGCUAUCUAAUAAUUAGUGAAAAUUGAUCGGCGUGAGCAUUUAAAAUGCAACGACCAACAACAAGAAAUACCAGGAAUUCUUUAUAAACAACUUUCCUAAUAUAUCACCUACAACUUUUACUGAGUGAAUCACAAAUGGAAAAUACACAAGGUAGCAACAACAUCAAGAAUCCUAAUUCAAAGUACGAAAACGACGGUAUCAUAAGAACUUCUUUACAACGAGAGUUAAUCUCUUAUACUUUGAUUACUGUAUUCAUAAAAGAUCAUCAAACAUGACGGUGCUCAAAAGCAAGUACCUCUAAACAAAAUAAGCACUCAAUGCAUUAUCAAAAUAGUCAAUAUCAAUACACUUACAAGCACAGCUUACUAGCGCAUGACCUCCCUACUAUGAAAGGCCAAUAACAUGGUGUAGACUAAGAGCUUCAUUUUUCAAAAUGAACAUAACAUACGGCUAGAUGAACACAUUCAUAUCAAUUAUGGCAAUCAAAUUACCAGAUAGAUAACAAAGCCAUAGCACUGGAUUUGAAUAACGCUAACAUCCAAUUAAAGCUAUAACCAGCAAAUGACAGAAAGACGAGCAAGUUACCAUCCAGCCAAUCAAUUCUUCUCGUGCCUUCUAUGCUUCCUGCUCCUCUCCUCGGAUCGCUUCUUCUCCUUCCUGCCUCGCAGCUCUUCUUCAGAAUCCGAUCCACUGAUUUCAGAGUCACUCAAUGAAGCCGCUUUCUUCUUCCUCCGGCGCUCAUUAUGCCUGCUAGACCUCUUACGAUCAUCCGACGACUCAUCACUUUUAUCAGAAUCACUCUCCGAUGCAUCCUUCCGCCUGUUCGUUCGAUUAUGGCGUGAAUGCCUAUCUGGUUCUCCUUCUGAAUCAUCCUCAUCAGAGUCCUUCCUCUUGUGAUGGCUCCGCCGCCUCUUCUUUUCCCUCCUGCUCUUCCUAUGCUUCUUUUCAUAAUUAUAGUCGUCGUCAUCAUCAUCUGAAUCCCUGCGCCUUCUCCUCUUCUCCAUUCUCCUCGCUUCAUCCUCGCUAUCGAUCUCAUCAUCGUUCUUGUUCAAGCUCUUCCCGCUCCUCCUAUGCCUCGAUCGACCCUUCCUCCUACGGCUCCCCUCCUUCUCAUCAUCCGAUCUCUCCUCUCUCCCCCUCGCCGCAGAAGCGGAGCUCCUCUUGCUCUUCUUACCGUAGCGAGCAGCGAUGAUCUUCUCCAUCUCCGGAUCCACAUCUGAAUCCGAGCUCUCGCUCUCUUCCUCCUCCUCCUCCGACUCGUCGCUCUCCCCCGCCUCCUUCAACCCGCUCGCCUUCUUGAUCCUGUCGAAGGCGGCGUUCGCGGCGUGGAUCGCGGCGCCCUCGUCCCUCUCGUCCUGUUGGUCCUUCACGCUGAGGAAGUUGCGGCACUGGAAGGUCAGGUGGCCAACGCGGCCGCACUUCUUGCAGGCGCCGCGCGCCUCGUCGGCGCUGGAGCCGGUGAUGCGGGCGAGGGCGAGGAGGCCCUGGAAGCUGGCGUAGGCGUUCUCGCCGCCGUCCCCACCACCACCGCCUCCCCCGCCACCGCCGACGCCACUGCCGCCGCCGCCGCCGCCGCCGCGGGGGGCGGAGGAGGGCUUGGAGGGGUCGGGCUUGUCCUUGUUGGUGGGGGCGUAGGGGUCGUAGCCGAUCGCGCUCUGCCAUAUGCCGUGCGUCUGGAGCGCCGCGCUGCUGUGGACGCGGUUGUUCGCGGGCAUGCGAACCCUCCCCGCCGUCGCCGGCAUCUUCGCUCAAGAUCGUCGGAGAAGAAGAAGACGAAGAAGGGGAGGAUCGCUAGGGUUUCUUCGAGAGAAAAAGGGCGAAGAGGCAGAGGAGAUCGUUCGAAUCGAUCGAUCGGUUUCUUUUAUAUAUUAUUUUUAAUUUUUAAUGGCGGUGUGGAUGCGACGCGGAAUUAUUGGGUCGAUCGAUCUCAACCAUCCGUUUUCGACUGUUAUGAUCCGCAGCGUCCCUUGGGGUCCACGUGCGUUGCACGUGAUCGAAGCUCCCAACAAUUAGGUUCCGUUCGCGGAUCUUAUCCACGCGAUCCGCGAACGGACCCAAUCCUUUUGGGACGAAUUUCGCUCUCCACAAAUCAAUUCACAAUCCAUCCAUCAAAAUAUUAAUAUGAAUAUGACUUCAAUUGAUUUAUAAAAGUUUUAAAUUAAUCUUAAUAAAUAUAGACAAAUUUGUUAAUUCGGAUUUCCCAUUAUUUGUAUUUUCCACGCAUAUCUAUCUAUCCACACAAGAACGAAGAAAGAAAAAAGAAAAAAGAAAAAAAACCUUGCUAAUCUAUUUUAUGAGUGACCAACAAAAUUCAAUCCGACGGACCAACCUCGUUCAUUCCAAACAAAAAAGUUUAAGCCCUAAUAAAGAUUCACGAAAUUACUUAGAUUCACAUUAUCCCAUCAAAUCCUUACCUUAUUCUAGUAUUCAAAACAUUCAUCAGGAUGAAUGGAACACUUCUUUCAUCGACUAAUGAGAAAUUGUCUAUAAUUUACCAAAGAAACAGGAAUUGCUGCUCAAAAAAAAGCCCAAAAGUGGUUUUUGCUCAAAAUAGAAGUUAAGAAACAGGGUUUUGCAGAAGCUACUGGGAUUUUUCUUAAUCAGGCGUCGCGGCACCCUGGUUGAGCUCCGCAAAUCUCAUGCCGACCCUCAUGGAGUGCUUUAAGAACUUCUCGGCACAUCGGCGAACACACGUCUCCUCUUGCUUGUCGAGAGUCUUACGCCUAAAGGUCUCCACGCAGUCGGUGAAGCAUCUCUCGACCAGCGAAUUGUACAUUCUUAAACUGCAAUAAGAACAAGCGAGAGGAAAAGUAAAACAGCUAUUCUCAGAAGCUAUGCGUAGAUUCUCAUGAGAUCAUCCUAUUACACUUGAAAUCAACCUCGAUAUUGAUCCAAAUUAUGCCGUCGGUGGCUGUUGCUACUGUAAAAUUAAAGCAUGCCGUUACUGCCACUCUCUAUCCGUGCUUGUACCUAAAGACGAUAUUAUCUCUAAACCAAGCACAUCAAACCUAGUAGCGAGAAUAUGGAGUACUACUAAUGUAAGUAUCAGUCACCUUAUACAUGAAAUCAAGAAGAGAGAAAAUUCAUCAUUUAUAACAUGCAUAUACAGAAAGUACGUUUUGAGCUUUGACAUACGAUUUGGAACCAAAUUGGAGAGCGAAAUAAGAUAAUUUUCCAGACACAACAAUAGUAUAAUGUUCUGGAGAUAGAAGGCCACCAGAGAUAGCUUCACCUCAUAAGAUAGGAAAUUUCAGGGUUUAAUAAUCUCUAUAAAAUACAAGUACUAGUUGAGGCGGAUUGUUCAUCUUCUGAAUUACAUUCUUACCCGACAUAAAUGUAACCGUCCAAGAUUAUCAUUCUACUUAUCUUACGAGUCCAGUUGCUGUAACUACUUGUAGGAGUCAACCAUUUCCAAAUUGACUACAAGAGUUGGAAGCUAACAUUCUAUAAGUAGAUUGUGCACAAAGUCCAUACGAAACCUUGUAGCUUCCCAUUAAUGAUGAUAUCAUUGAUAAUAGGAUCCAGCAGCCUAGUACUUUAUAGCCCAAAUCACCCCCAAAUGAGCUUCUAGUUUAAACAAAAGAAAAGGCAAACAUCUUCGCACCGAAGUCCAUUUACAAUAUCUUCAAUCAACUCACAGAGUUUGGAAGCUGUCGGUGAACCUAAAAAACCAGUUUAUUAAAAUUUGAUUUGACUUUUGUAGACCCCAAUUUAGCCAAUCACAAGAAUAUACACCAAAAAUCCAAUUAAAUCUUAUAUGCACAAAAUAAACUAAAUUCACUGCUGUGAACUUGUUUAAUCAAAUGCAUACAUCUUCCCACCGAAGUUCAUUUACAAUAUCUUCAAUCAACUGACACAGUUGGAAGCUGUCGGUGAACUUAAAAAACCAGUUUAUUAAAAUUCGAUUCGACUUUCGUAGACCCCAGUUUAGCCAAUCACAAGAAUAUACUCCAAAAAUCUAAUUAACUCUUAUAUUCACAAAAUGAACUAAAUUCACUGCUGUGAACUUGUUUUGACUAAAAACCGAUGUCCUCAUCAAUCUCACUUGCCCACUCAACCUCUUAUUCUUUCUGUGAAUCUCCAACAGAAUAGAAACAAUAACCAUUAGAGUUAAUUGAUUAGCCAGGGAAACAAUCUAAGUUACUGCUAUGAGAAAAAAGGGGUGGGUAAAUCCAGCGAAUUGAGAAACAAAGCUCAUCCUUCAACACCAGAAAUUUAAGAACCCAAAAUGAAUGGUUAAGCCCUUAAGUUUGAGGAUCAUUUGACCAUACACACCUUAAUCUUCGAUACAUCCUAUGUGAUUACUUUGCUUCAAUCACAUUCUCUUAUACUUCAACACGACAACACCUCCAUUGAACAUAAAACUCAAAUGCUUGACUCUGAUCACUGCCAACUACUUCAAAACAUAACAAUCCUACGCUUCUACAACAACAUAAAGCAACAAUCAAGUGUAAAAGCAUAUACUUUACCUUCCAAAAACCUAAGAAUCAGUAAUAAAAUCCCAAAAUUAACAGCUUACCAUCAACAGCUACUACUAACAUUUGGUCCAUUUCUCAAUCAAGUAAUACACUUGAACUCAUCAAAUCUACAUAGAUCAUAAGCUAUUCACAUGCUUCAUAGAUUUCAUCAAUCGAUUCAAAACAACAAUGAAACAGAACACUAAUCCAAGGAAAUAAGGGAGAAGAAGAGGGGAGGGGAGGAGACCUGUCGCGGAUCUGGAGCUGGUCGAUCAUGGCGGACAUCCGGAUCUUGUCCUCCUCGGGGAGCGAAUCCAAAUCUCCGAGCAUGCUCUUAUCCAUCUUCGCCUCCUCCCUCGUAUUCUCCUCCGCCUCACCUUGCUCUGGAUCUCUAGGGUUUUGGUGGGGACGAUGAAGGAGAUGGUGUAGAAGGAGAGGCCGCGACCGCGAAAUCUAAAACCCUAGUCGAAGCGUUUGGAGUUGGUCAAAGAACGAUGUGAUCCGUCCAUUCGUCGAACUUGCCACAUGUACGGUUGAUAUGAGAUCCUGCAUUUUUCUUGUAACAGCGCCGACUUCAUGUUAAUUUACCGACUUCUUCAUAUGAGUUUGGGCUCAAUUCGGUAAUCCCUCUAUUUGGCCCAUGGCCCAAGAUGCCGAAAUCAGUUAUGAAUCAGAUCUAACACUAACUCUCUCUCUUCUUUUUUUUUUUUCUAUAUUUAUGUUUGCCGAGAAUAGAGCAUAUUCAUCAAAUCUCGUCACAUUCACUCAAUUAAUAAUGACCAGAUUCAGUAAUUUAUUAAAUAUUAUCGUAUUACCUUUUUUGGUACGAAAGAUGGGGAUAAGUGAGAUCCCUAUUCAAGAUUGUAUUAAAUUGAUCAGAUAUGUGGGAGCGUAAACAAGUUAACUUAGACCGAGUAUAAGAUUGGAUUAUUUUUGUAUUUUUAUAAUUGGUUGCUCAUCUUAAUUCAAGUUCGAAUCAUUUGUUAACAAUCGAGAUGAAAUUAAAGCCCAAAUCGUGGGUUGGUUUGAAAUAGUAAUUGAAAACUGAGACAAAAAGCGCAUCCUGCAUUGAGCUAGCUGCAACUUCUUAGUUCACAUUUCACAGCUAGAAGCAAAUUAUAAUACUUUUUACAGGAAUGUAAAGUCUCAAAAUUCUGGUUAGAGAGAGAGAUCAAGAUCUUUUCUUAUGAACUUAUUAAAUCUACAUGUAAAAAGCAUCACCGACGGUUUCUACUUGAAGCUUCUCUGCUUCUAUUUCAAUAAGAAGCUAUUUAGCGAGUCAUCAAGCUACAAGUAGCUUUUUCAAACAACUUAACUCAAAUAACACUUUUACGGAGAUGAAGCAGAAUCGAAAACUCUCUUAUCUGAUAAUAAUUUGAGUUCUAUGUCAUAAUGGCAAUUAAAAAGCAAAGAAAAAUCUUCUCUCAAGCUUUUCGUAUAAGGUGGUUUCUUUCUUACAGUUACUUUCAAGAGAAGUUGAAUUACUGAGUGACUACACCAAUUAGCUUUACUCCACCAUUAACACAAAUCAAAUAGAAACACACUAAAUUUCCAAACCUUUAUUCAGCACCAAAAGCACACAAAAACACACACAGAUAUAUGGCAGGAGUUUAAUAUGCACCCAACUUCACCAGCCAUGGUUACAACUAUUACACUCCCAAUCCAUCAUUCAUCCACACCAAGAAGUAUUAUUAAUUGGCACACACAUCCAUGGCCUAUUUAUUUGUUAUAGAACUACAGAUGUUCCAAAGCAUAAGACAAAUUACAUAGAUAUGUCACACCCCACACAUGUUCAUCCCCAGGAGGUAUUAUAUGAAGCUGAUGCUUCGUAAUUUAGCACCGGCAAGGGUUACACCGGCAGCUGGAUCCACACGAGCAGCUGCAGCUCCCCUCGGUGGUCUCAGAAACCUUCUCGAGUCCUUCGAAUUUCCUGCGAAAACCAUUAACAGCAAAUUGCAGUAAGUAACAGGGACCUGUGACAGUUUCUCAGCAGCAACAUCUGAGUUUUGUGUGGUAGAGGAACAUACCCCUUCUCAGGAGCAACCCCAAGGAUCACAGUUUCAGAGGUGGUGCUCUUCUCAGCCAUCUCAGGGUACAUCUUGCAUCUGCAACAAAAUAACGGAAUAAAAACAAAAUUACAAGGUUUAUGCAGAUAAGUACUAUAUGCUGAAACAUAGUAGCAGAAAAAUCAGAAACAUAUCUACUUCCAAUUCCAGAAUCAGAAGAAAUCAAUUUUUUUUUUAAAAAAAAGAGAUCUUCAGCAGAAGCAACAAUCAUUACUUAUAUUAAUUACAGUUGACCAAACUGAAUUUCAGGGAUGCAUAUAAAAGUUUAACAUCAAAUUUUGAGUUUUCUAAAGUAAAAAACUCAUUCUGAAAAUUAUCAUGCAUGUAGCCAAAUCCCACGCAGUGUUCAUCACAACAAAAAGCAGCAAACUCCUUUACAAACAAGAUGAUGAAUUAAAGUCAUAACAGGAAUCUUUUGAAACAUGUAAUAAUCUUUGUACCCUCCAGAGCUGCCGCAGCUGCACCCAGAACCGCACCCGCACUUUCCGCCGCUGCAAGACAUCUUCUUUCUGAUCUUCUGAAGGAGAUUCUCAAAAAACCAACUAUGAAUCAAACUAGCAGUGCCUCAUUGCUUUAUAUAGAGAGGAGGGGAAGAGUAUAUAGAUAUCGACCGUCCAUCCACGUGUCGUCCUCCUAUUGGUAGACUAGCUAGAAAAACAUUAAGUUUAUGCAAUGACUUUUUAAAUGAUGAUUUUGUUUAUUACUAUGUGUCUGAAAAACAAUAACUUGGUGAGGAGUAAGGAACUCAGUGUUUGCUUUCUUUGUAAGAGGAGGUUAGGAAAAACAAUAAUAAAAAGAAAAGAAAAGAAACCAAGAAAUAAAAGUUAGCAAAAUAGUUAAUGCCCUCAUGGGUAACUUCAAAGGAGAAUUGUUGCAAUAUAAUAGAAGGACAUCCACAUCAAAUACCUUAGUUUAAUUCAACUAAGCAACCAUCAAUGUCAAGUACACCUCACAUCACCAAUAAUAUAAUUCUUCUAUAUUGUCUUAGGACAACUCCUUUGUUUAUUUAAACAUAGAAAAAUCACAUUAUCACUAAUAAUUAAUCAAGAUUUAAUUAGAUUGGUUCGACCGACAUUAAGUAUUUGAGAUUAAGAUUUCAUUAGCUUGUGUGAGUGUUUUUUAUGUGGAUAAAGAAUCUCAAACCAAUUUGACUAACUAUUGCAUGUUCAAUUAAUGCCUCCCUUGGUUUAGUUUAUAUCUAAAGAUAUGGAUUACGCAUCGCAUCGAACAAGUCGACGUUUGCAAUUAGAUGAUCGAUGAUACAAAAAUUAACAUAUUAAAUGUGUCAUAAAAUACAAAGAAAACAAAUAUUGUCUCAUUUCAUUACGUAUAAAGAAGUGUCAUGCACGUAAACUCCACAAGAAGACUUUCUACAUUGAAAUUUUAACAUUUGAUCAUUUCAAACGAGUUUUGUACUUACAAUGCAUGAAUUAGAUAUAGAUUGCACACCGAAGCAAGCAAGAUUCAACGGCUAUGCGAAAUUAGUAUUAUAUAUAUUAUGUGCGUCGAAAAUUGUAAAUUUAUGUGCUCAAAAUUGGAACUUGAGCUACAAGAAUAUACAAAUUAAUGAGACAAUUAGCUGUAACCUCUGCCUAUCCAACUUUGUGUUUUAAUAGAUAAUGAACAUUUUUAAAUUUUGAAUUAACAGGCAGAUAAUGAACAUUGGACCUUGUUUUUUUUUUUUCAUGAAUUUUUUUUUUUCCCCAUCAUGCCAUUUUAUUCUUGAGGCUGUGUUAAUUAUCAGGUGGGGUUGAGUCUCUCUCUCAAUUGAGGGAGGGGAAAAAAAGAAGUGUGAUCUAACACAUUGAGAAUUUGAGAUAAAUGCAUUUGAGGUGAAAUAUGAUCAGGGUAUCUAGAAGCAUGAUCUAACAAAGAUUUGGUCAUCUAAUCAAAUGAGACUAAUUAAUAUAAGAACAAGGCUAUUGUUUUUUUUCCCUUUUUUUUCUAUAUGUAUUCCUUUGUUGUGUGUGUGUGUGUGUGUGUGUGUGUGUGUGUGAAAUAUGAUCAGAGUAUCUAGAAGCAUGAUCUAACAAAGAUUUGGUCAUCUAAUCAAAUGAGACUAAUUAAUAUAAGAACAAGGCUAUUGUUUUUUUCUCUUUUUUUUUCUAUAUAUACUCCUUUGUUGUGUGUGUGUGUUUGUCGGAUCAUGACUUUUUCUCAGCUAAUUAUAUACUGAAAAUAAUUUCAUGAGAUAAAUAUGAUAGUGUCAAGUAUUAAGAUUCAAAUUAAGUGUUAUCUGAUGAUCAGAAAUGUGUCCCAGUGGGAUGCAUUUUUACCCAAAUUCCUUUUAUAUCCAGUCAUAUUUCUCUUAUCUUGUCAUUUUUAUUACUUUGGACUAAAGAUGAAAGCAGAUAUAAGUUGCAAAAAAAAAAAAGAAAAUUAAGCCAUUCAAAAGCAAAAGAAAAUGAGUAAAGUAUCUCAUUACAUCAUGCACCCCAAGAAGAUAACAAUAAUUUUCCAAGUCAAACAAAUUAACCACUAUUCUCCAUUUCUAACAACUGAGUAUACUGAUUGCACAUAACAUUAUUGCACCAUAAAAAUAAUUAUACAGUAUCUCUCUACUCCAAAAAGCAUGACAAUGGGGUAUGUGAUGGCUUCACUAGCAGCUUCUUAAAAGUUACACCCUCCAGUGCAUGUCUUUAUGUCUUCAAUGCAAGUCCUGCUAAGGUGGUAUUCAAAUGAAUCAACAAAAAAUUAAGUUCCGCCGAGUCAUCGCCUCUUCUCUUCAGAUUUCGAUCUCGCGUGUGUGUACUUCUUUUCUCUUGUUUGUUUUCUCUAUUGGCCCAGUGGAAACAGAAGGUUUCGAUGCUGAAACAACAGGAGCAACAAAGUUAUUUAAACCGAGCACAUGACAUAGUGAACAAACAAUAACUCCGUAAUUUGCAGAUAUAGGAACUAAUUUUUGUAGAUUGUAAGUUAAACACCAAAAGUAAACCUGUAUCAUUAGAGCAUCUUUCCCUGGUCUUCAUAGCAUGGCUUUUGACUCGCAUAAGAUGAAAUUGCACAUCAUGCCUUGUGUGCUAGAAAGGUUGCCACCCAUGCUAGUUCCAAAGGAAUUUGAAAACUGUUUCGUAAUAAAAAGUUAUCUCAGGCAGAAUAGCCAUUACGGGAUAAAGGUUCAGGAUUGCAUGCAUACAUCUUUGUGGAAAUGAUUGGGGUAGUCAUGGAUCAACUUGUCAUACAUCUCAAAGUGAUAAGGAUUUACCGUUGUGUUGCUCAAUAGGAUAUUGCUUUAAUUCAAAAAAUAUGUAUUAAAUACAAAACAAUACACAUAACAGCCAACUUACUUGUAUGAUUCGGCAUCGCAGCAACGCCUUGCCGUUUAAGACCAUGUAACUGCUUUAAUUUAAUCAACAAUAAUUUUACUCAGAUCAAGACUCCGUGCUUCAUUUCCAUCUAUCAGUCUUCUUAGUCCAGUUUUCAGUUCAGGAACUCCCUCCUGUAAAAUAGCACAAACAGGAAAUAUUGGAACAUCUCGAACCCUCCUCUGUAAUUCUUCACACACUUUUUCAGCACCGUCUUCAUCAAUUUUAUUGGCAACUAUCAAAGAAGGCCGACUCGACAAUCCUUCCUGAUGAUACUCGAGCUCCAAAACCAAAUCCCUCAACUGUUCCCAUGGUGAAAUUCCCUUUCUACCGUUCAAAGCUGCAGCUAAGUCGACAACAUAGGCCAAGACUUUUGUUCUCUCUAUAUGCCUCAAAAAAGCAUGCCCUAACCCCCGAUUCUGAUGAGCGCCUUUAAUUAGCCCUGGAAUGUCCGCCACCUUUACAGAAAAAAAGUCCUCAUAAUUCAAGUUUCCUAUAUUGGGUCUUCGAGUGGUGAAAGCAUAAUGGCCCACAACAGGUUGGGCACGUGAAAGGGCCCCUAGCAAGGUGCUUUUACCAGCAUUUGGCAUGCCAACAAGGCCGACAUCCGCAAUGCUCUUUAAUUCUAGGAUAAGCACGCUUUCAGAUCCGGGCUUUCCAGUAUGUAACAAAGAUUCAUCUUCAUCAUCAAUGUAUGCCAAAUUGGAAGAAUUAUCUUUGAUCUUUUUGCGGGACUUGUGAUCUUUCCUUAGACAAGCAUUACCGAGACCACCCUCCCCACCUCGAGCGAUUAUUAGGCGUUGGCCCGGCUCAGUCAAUUCUGCAACAGCAUAUUGCACCUCCUCCUCUUCCUCCUCCUCCUCCUCCUCCUCCUCCUCCUCCCCAUCAUCAUAAUCAAAAUCAUCUUCACUAUGAUCUUCUUCUUCAUUUUCUGGUUCAGUUCCAUAUGAAUGAUCAUGACUUACUCCAUCUUCAAUUGAUGGAAAUGCUUUUUCAGAGAAAGGACUAAUGUGUGGUUUCAGAUUCCCUUUUCCUAUGAUCUCCUUACUGCCAUUGUUACAAGAAUAUGAAGUAGAAGCACGACGAUCUUCUUUUACCAUUGAGUGUUUAAAAGCAUUCGCAUUGUUUUGAACAGGUUUUGCUCGGAAAUCCUCCGAAUUGUCUGGAAUAUCCCAUGGAUCCGCAGAUCUCACGGAGUUGUUCUCAACGAAAGAAGGUAAUUCACCCUCGACUAGAUGCAUUACAGUGCCAACCGGUACUUGUACAACCUGCGACAUUUAAGUACUUUGCUAUCAUUAAUUUGCAAAUAAAAAAAAUGCAAAAAGGAGAUGUUACAAAAAUGUCAGAGGAUCAUCGUAUUGUUUAGGAACAUUAACCUUGUCAGAUCCUCGAGUACCUAUCUGAUUUUUCGAAACUCCAUGCCCUCCACGUUUCGCAUUCUGACAAAGAAUAACUAGUGUUCAUACAUUUGAAGAUAAACAGAUAUCUAUGAUUACAUUACAUAUAGUUAAACAAUUCUAUAGCACCCCAAAAAAGAAAUGAAUUACAAAUUUCCAGAACCAACCAAAUGGUGUUGCAGGUUACUGAAAUCCCAAACAGCCGCCGAGCAUUCGAGAAUAACAUCACCUCCUCUACCGCCAUUUCCACCUACACUAGCCCAAAAAAGAACACAUGUUCAAAAAAGUAACCAUUUCCCCUAAACCCGUUAAGUAGAACCCUUCAAUACUACAAAGCUAUUCAUUGAGGAAAUAACACAAACAGGUGGUGGCACCAACAAAACUGGAGCUAACCAAAGCGAAGAAACCAUAAAACGCACCAUCAGGUUUCCCAUGGCGAUCGGAUCUGCUGCGGCGGAGGCUGCAGCAACCGUUUCCGCCCUCCCCGCCCUUCGCCCAUAGCCUGAACCUAUCCACCAUUCUCCUCUCCUACAUCAAAUUACACACAUAGCCCAAUUCAAAUUCGAAGCCUAAGAUGAUUCUGAAGAUAAUCGAACACACAGAACGCAUCAACAGCCACAAAGGAGGUUCUUUUACCUGUAAAGGCGCUGCCUUUCCCUUUUUGGAGGGUGCGUUGGAGUAGGAAAAGGAGGAAACGAACCACGAAGGGUUAGGGCAAGGGGGGAGAGGUGGUAUUCGCCCAUGGCGAAGUACUACGCAACGCAGCCACAUCCCUCGCUCUGCUACGAUCACACACGGAGAAGAGGCUCCUCUUCCAGAUGUUCAUCGUUGUGGGCCAAGCCCAGUAAGGGCCCAGCAAUUGUUAAUGGUCCGGGUAUGCUUGAACUCUUGGUCUGGGCCUAAAUUGAUCAGUUGCAAUCACAAAGAUGGUGUUUUUUUAAAUUAAAAAAAAAUUACGUACAGUUGAUAGUUUAUAUUUAUAUAUUACUAACUCAUCAAAUGAAAUGGCACAAACAUAAUUCGGUUUUUCGAAGCAACACACACAAUUUUUGUUUUUAUUUUGGUUAUCAUAGUUUAUUUUUGAAGUUACUUUCAUGUAAUUCAUUAUCCUUUCUACUAACCAUACAAGUAUGUUACUAUUCAUCAUUACACAUGUAAAUAACAAGAAGGGAAUGAUAAAGUUACAGAGGAAAGAACAAAAAAUACUACAUGUUUAUAUACAACACUUGGCAAGUGAUAUGUCAUCUAAAUCAAAAACAACAUUGUCUAUAAGAUCAUCUAGUAUAAGAUCCUCCAAUUCCAAACCCACAUACUCGGAAUCGAAUCGAAGGUUCAUCCACCCAUCAUUCCUCACAAAAUCUUGGGCCACAACAUUCUCCACUGCUUGAUCUAUCUGCAGCUGAGAGCUAAGAUACCGACUGAUGUUCGCCCAUACUUCCUUGAGAACCUGAUAGCCCGUCGGCAUAGGUCGAAUACGGGAACAGAAGCCAGAGAAUUGUGGAAAAGUGACAAAAGAAGAGUCGUAAAUUUCCAAUAAGAUUUCAUUUAUCAGAUCGAAUAAAAGCAUGUGAUUGAGAAGGGAGUCGUCAUCGUCGACAUAGUUAUCAUGUUCUCGAGGUGAGUUCUCGGCUUCUUCAAAGUGUAGAGGGUCGACUGGCUGGUCGGGGGAGUACCAAUCUCCGAGAAUCUCACUAGUGCUGAACCCGGAUAUUUUCAAUAUACUUUUCACGUACUGAAAGUCGGCCUCGUCCUUCUCGUUGACUUGAAUGUGUACAGUAUUAAUAUUGUCUAGUUCCUCCGAAAUAUCUUCUUUAUUGAAGUCUUCUUCUAUUAACUCACUGUAUCCAUCAUUCACUUCUCUCGGUCUAUGUGACUCGGUUAAUAACUCAAGCUUGUUGAGAUGAACUUUUGUAGAUUUCAGCUCCGGACCUGCUAAAUUCGGUUAAUGAGAAGCAAAUUACUCAAUGUAAUAGAUAAAAUUUAGAGUUUGUGAAGGCCAGCUAUAUCAUUUCACAGCAUCUUUUUUAAUAUAUUACAUGUUUGAUCUAUGUUACAGAAGAUUAUUAGAAGUGAUCAGAUCAAAAUUUGAAAUGUAAACAAUAUGAAUUUGUAUUCACUGUUUGUUCUAGAUAGUUCACCUGAAACAGAAUGCUUUGCAGAAUAAGUUCCAUCGUCCUGGAACAAUUCGCUUGUAAUAGAUAUAGCCGUCGAGUUUGCAGGGAUGUCUCUAAUAUCCAGAUGUAAUGGACCAUCAGUACUCUCUUCUAUUGUCACAUUAUCUGAAAUAUUGAUUGGUAGAUCUUUAUCUUUCUCACUAAUUAGUGCUGAAUGUUCCAUACUAUCAUUAGUCAUACCGCUAAAAGUACUCUCUGCAGCUUGUUCUACCUGACCAUCUGAAUUCAUGAUUCCAUCGGUACAUAUAAGAGUAUCAAACGACUCGAACUGUGUAGAAAUACAUUGGUCGGAUGCUACAUUGUUAUUGGAUACUUCAUUUUGGACAUCUCUACUAACGAAGUACGACUCAACAUCAGGAAGAGAAAAAAUUCUUUUCAAGGCUUUUGGGGAUUUGUUUUCCAUGAACUUUGGUCUUUCAGAAUGCCUUUUGGAAUCCCUGCUUGAAAUAGACUCGAAUAGAUUGGAGUACCUAUCUAAUGAUUCAUUAAGAGAAGAAGAUCUUCUUAUACGUUUUGGUAUAUUUUUACUGUUUGGUGAAGGAAACCCUUCUCUCCCAUAUUUAUAUCUCAAAGUUGUGUCCUUAUUUGGCAAAUCCGUCACCUUUUGUCCAUAUGGGAUUUUAUGAAGAAUGCCAUCCAUAGAAGUUCGAAUAAGCCCCUCCUUAUUCUCCUUGAUUACAUCUUUUAUUUUCCUUUUAAUUGAUCUAAAAUGAUUUGAAACAGUUCGACCUUCCCUUGAGCCUUUUGAUUCAUACAGAGGAUCAGUUAUUUUGGUAUUGCUAGUUCCUGUACUAUCUGUUGCAAGAAUAUCAUCAUUCUCCUUGUCUUGGUCAUUGUGGGGCUCAAGGCUGUGGCUUGCAUUACUUUUUCCCAACAAUUCUUCUGUGUGAGACGUUUCAAAUUUGGUUGAUGCUAUCUCUUCGGUUGGCAGUAGCGAAGAUGGAUUCUGGAGGAUUUUAAGAAACAAAUCCCUAUUUGCAUUGAAUAGCUGAAGCAAAUCCAAGAACUCUUUUGAAUGAUGAAGAGAAGCAGUGUUUCCUAUUUCUUUAAUUACUCCCUCCUCCUGAAUCGAUGAACUUUUCCCAAAAUCAUCAAGCUGGUCGUGAUCCAUUCUUUCAAUUGUGUUAGUGCUCCCACACAUUUCAGAUAGUUUUUCAAGAGAAGGCAUAUUAGGGGCUUCAAGCAAACAUGAUUGGCUGCUGGUAGAAGCUGUUCCAUGUGAACUGAGCUCGGUUGUUGAGGUCUCAUAGUUAGAACUUGAUUCUACAGGAAUGACAUAAUUGUUGCAUUUUAAGUGAUGAAUAGAAGUUGUGCGCAGUAGACGGGACGGAGCUCGAGAGAUCUUUCCUUUCGGGUCCUUGUCCCUAAAUUUUCUUUUUGAUACAAGAGUUCUCAAUAAAGCCAUGCGAUGACUUCUGCUUGUAGCAUUAACUCCAUUUUCCAUCUGGAAAUAAACAAUAAUAAUCACUUAUAACAAACAAGUAUAAAAAUUAAGUGCAAAGAAUUACAUUCCCCCCAGCCUUAAAAAAAGCGCAAAGAAAAUCAUACUUUCAACCAUUUAAUGGAUAAUUGGGUUAACUACCAGCAUAGGUUUGAAAGUUAUAUUUGGUACAAUUUUAUUAGAAAAGAAUAGAAAAUUUGUUUAAACUAAAUUUUAUUAAACAGUUAUUAUAAGAAGGUUGUUUGAACUCACCUGGGAUUUUCCAUCUCCUUCUGGACAGCAAUGUUCCUCACUUGUCGAAGGUUCGGUUCUUCUCAUCCUUGGGAGUUUUAUCCCUACAAUAAGAAAUAUUUUAACAGUCCGAAGAGCAAGUCUAUGAUGAAUCAAAAUAACAACUUUUCCACCCGAAGCACAACAAACGGCUCGAUAACAGAAGCAAAAGCUCCAAAUUAUUACUCUCACUUGCCACCAUUGCAGAGCUCUAAUUUAGAUAUUCUAUAUUUGGGGCUCAAAUGCUUGUUUCAGCUUCUCAUCACGCAAAUGAGCAAAACAUCCGAAAUUUUCUAUCUCGUAGAUGUUCUGCUGGAGAUUGCUGCAGCUGAGAGCGGAAGCAAAAGCUAUGCCGAGUGGGCACUUGCUCCUUUGUUUCGUACAUACUUAAAAAAUAAAGCAUCAUUUUAUUAAAUUCUUAUCUUUGAGCAUUAAGCAAUGAUAACUGGUGAUCGAUUAACAGGUGCUACCGCCACUUUUACUAUUUCACAAGAUGGAAAGAUCACAAAACCAGCUAUAAGAAGAUUAAUUCUCACUUCCGGUUCGACUCCCAUCGCCGUGCCUUCUGUAAGCUAGCGUCUUCCUUAUUCGAAGACGGUUGUGCAGGUCAAGGAAGUGUAGCAGGCUCUCCAUGCACCCCGGGUGGCGUUUCUCGAACGGUAGUUCCGACCUCCCUUGUUGCAAAUUCUCCGCCAUUUAUAAUACCAAGUCUAGAAAACAUGCAACCUCUGUUUUACUCUACCGCAAUAACAGUAAAAUAAAAUAAAAUAACAAAUCAGCAACCCAUGAAAUUCCAACAGCAGGAAUUCAAUGAACAAUACAAUCAACAUUACAUUAAAAAUAGAUAAAAAUUAUAGGCAUUUUGACAAACAGAUGGUGAGCAAUAACCCUUCUCCCAAAAGCAUGGUUAAACAAAAAGUGACUUUUUUAUAUCUGAGAAGGCUGAAAAUAGCAAUUUUUGGUGCCAAAACGAUAAAUUUGAUCAAAUAAUACUGAAAUUAAAGUUAACUAAAUUACAAAGCAUCAUAAAAUUGUGAUAAAAAGGGCUUAUACCGAAGCACGGAGAUGAUUCUGGGCAUGCAAAAGGAGGAGCUUUUUCUCGUCCAAAAAAAAUAUAAAUAUGAAAAACUAAAGGAGAAGAGAUUAGGGUUUGAAUCGGAAAUAGUAUGAGGUAGAGGAAGGAUUAAUCCCUCGUUUCGAUGGGAUUUGUCGAGAGGAUUCCGCUCAUCCGCUCCCUCCCUCUCCAUUUCCCCUCUUUUUUCAAUUCCUUUUUUUUUUUCUUUUUUCGGGUAUUUAUUUUCAGUUUUAUUUGAUCUUUACAUCCCUCUUUUCCCGCUAACAGCGUCCACGUCACGUGGCCCACCACGUCAUUCAUAAACCUCUCAAUUUAAAAUCUGAAAUUAAGUUAAAAAUGGUCGUUGGUCUACGGAUGACGUGGUGAACAUUGUCCACAUAAAAAUUCAAAGCUUCCGGCCCACAAGAUUUUCUUCUUGGGCAGGGCCAUCAUAGUCACGGGCUCAGAUCGAAUAAACCCAAUAUUGGGCUUGGCCCAUUACCAUUAUCACAGUUCGACGAGCUAGGCUCCGUUUACGAUUGCGGAAAAAUGCGUUACAUACAAUGAUAAUGUACGAUUGAAAAAUAUACUGUUUAUUUAUAUAUGUAAUAUUGAAUUCUAUAUAUCACAAGGAGUUUGCUACGAAAUAAUUUUUCUGAUUCCACAGAACAAAGAAGAAGCAUAUUCUAUAUACUUUCGCCCCAACUCCGUUUUGCUUACUGGCUUUAAAUGGGCCUUAAUACUAAACCCGCGGUAAGUAUCUUUUUAAAUUUGUAAGAUCAUCUACCUAAUGGCCCUUUACAAAGCACAUCAUUGGGACUUUGCUCUUUUUUUUUUUAACUAAAUAAAAAGAAACUCACUUAUGCCACUUAAGAUACAAAUAAUCUUAAAUCGAGGGAAGGACAAGAAGUAUGUAUAUUAGUCCUGCAUGAUUCCAAUGGUCCCAAUAAUAAUAAAUAUAAAGUUUAGGUUAGCAGUACUACAAGAACACUUGGCCUAUGAUUAUGUCAUAACAAAAUCCAAAGGAAAGACCCACAAAUACCUUUGAGUAAUCCAACAAGUUCUCCAAGAAGAUGAUAUCAAAUGCGACAUUUGGCAGCUCAACCUCGCCGGGACAAGUUUCCUGGCUGAAGGCUUAGAGGCGCGUUGGAUUAGAGUGAGGCGAAUGGUCCCAAAGGAUUAUCUACAGCUCUUUGACAUCGGUUAUGCUGCAUUUUGCUGGGAAAUUUGGAAAGAGCGAAACAGGAGAAUCUUUGAAAACCGGCAUGUUAGCUUCGAGAUACUAGGGAGAAUCAUCCAUCAGACUGUCUUAUUUUGGAAGGGGGUAUUAGGAAGAUUCAAGCCUUAACUCUCGAUCUCAUUCUCGGUUUGGUUUCUCGUUGUUUUGGGUGUGUACUCUAUAGGUCCUAGGACUGUAUUAGCUUUUGUAAAAUAGGGUUAACCCCUGUUUAAUCAAAAAAAAAAAAUGCGACAUUUGAAGUAGACAUCUAGUUUGGAAAGUUGAAGUGUAAAAAUAACCAGAAUGCAACAGAUUAGUUAGUAGCUUAGCAUUUCAGAAUUAAAUUAGGAAUGAAACUUGUGCUAAACAUCGCGUCUAAACGACAAAUUAAACACUAAUAAAUCAUAAAGUGUAUGCUUAAACUGACUUAGAAACUGUUACAUCUUUUUCUCCAAUCCCAAGGAGGUGAUAUUUGGAGAGAGAUGUGUCCAUGAUGAUGCUUAAUUUGUAAUGGAAGCAUACUCAUAGCUAGUCAUGGAAUAGAAAAGGCCAUGAGUUGCAAUGAUAUAAACCACCAAGGUGGUGGCGAAGUGGAUGUGUGAGGAGUGGAGGAGUAGUACUUAAUUUGAUCUUUUCUCUCUGUUGUUGUGCCUUCUAAAGAUACAACCAACUCUUAUCUAAAUAAGAAUAAAAGCCAUGCAACUCCUUAGACAAUGUUCCCCCACCAUUGGGAGGAUCUAUUUAAGGACAUUGUCCUCCUUUUCUUUUUGCUUUUUAAUUUCCGAACAGAAUGACUUCGGGCCCGUUUGGUAUUGAUCAGUAGUAUAUUGUAAUUGACUCAUUGAAAUAUGUAAAAUCUCAUAUUAGGCACAGAAACAUACAAACUAUUUUUUUUAUAAUGUUUAUUUUAGCAUAUAUAACACAAUCUUAAUUUUCGCGAUCUCACACAGAGAUUUCACGAUCUGCACAACAAGGGGUGAAGGAUCCUUUGGUGUCUGACCCGGCGGGAAAUAUGUGCACCUUGUACCAUAUGAUUUAUGGGGUACAUCACAUAUAGUAGUGUGUUUUAUGUGACCUUAUUUAUAAGAAAAAGAAAAUAAAUAUGUACGUACUCUCAUCGUAUAGCCUUAUUAUGAGGAUGGAUGUUCUUUUUUAUCAUCCAAAUUAUCCAAUCACAAUCAAUUUAUACAAAUUUUAUUUUUUGAGUUUGUCAAAAGCAAAUAAAUGACCUAUACUGGAAAAUUCAUAAAUGUUAGAAACUAAUUGAUUUUGGUACUAUUUGAUGCUUAAUUAGCAAAUGAAUUCCACAUGCUUAUGAUUUUUUUGGUACAUAGACCUUUCCAAUAUUGUAAAACUCAUAUAAUUGUUUAAAUUUUAGAUCUUAAAAUCUCUAGUAGUUGGAUUUUACACUUGUAUAACAUGUGUGUGUGAAGUAAAAUUGUGUCAACAUUAACUCCUACUUGAGAUUGCUAAUGCAGAUUAAUUAUUUACUGAUCCUGUUAAAUGAUCUCUCAGCAUAUGAACACGACUCGCAAACUAGCUAGGCCUAGAUCGUGUCGGGCUACCUUACAAAGGGUGGCAAUCUUGAUCCGAAUCCGAUAGUUCAAUCUCAUCACCGAACUAGGUUUUGGUCAAUUCUGUGAACCUAAUGAAUUUCCAUGGUCGAAUUGGGUCAGAUUGACGGGUUGAUGGGUACCCAUUAUUGUAUGUUUGGUAAACCCAACGGGUCGGGUUGGUUCGGGUCAUGAUCGGUUAUUUUCUCACCCGAAACAGGUUAGGUUCAAGUUCGUACUUAUUGUUACGUUACGUACGUUAGAAUCCUCUCAAACAAAUCCAAAGCCAUAUAUAAAGAACACAAUAAAAACCACCAUAUAUACAAUAUACAGUAUAUAUAGAUGAGAGAGAUCUACUUAGAAGUAUCCUUAUUCCUCAUCUCUCAUCUCUUGUUUACUUGUCACCAACAUCCCUUUGUUGACAAUUCUAUUAUUCUUUCCCGGAUUACUAUUCCAUGAAUAUAUAGAUAAAGCUUAGAAUCCUAAUUUGAUCAUGGAUAAGAAGAAUAGCAACCAAGGAAUGCAAACCCAAGAGAGAGAAAGGAGAGAAAGAAGCCCCUCCCCAUUUCCUACCUCUUCUUCUUCCUCAUCUUCAUCUACUUAUUCUUGUUCCAAAGAGAAAUUAGGAGGAGGAGAAGAAGAGGCAAAGAAGGAUAAAGAUGACCAACAUGGUGAUUAUGAUGGUGAUAACAAGGAAGAGAUGGGAACUUCUUGUUCUACGUCGAGUACGAAGGAAGAAGUAAAGAAGGAUAAAGAUGAACGACAAGAUGUCGGCGAUAGCAUGCAAGAAAGAAGCCCUCCCUCCUCUUCUUAUUCUUGUUCUAUGAAGGAGGAUGCUGUCGCAGUCGCUUCGAGAGGGAAAGAGGAAGAGAAUGAGGGUGAGAAAGAAGAGGAUGCAGCAAAGAAGGAUAAAGAUGGCCAACAUGUUGUUGUUGUUGUUGUUGAUGAUGAUGAUGAAGGGUACCACACGCCAACAUCGCCGAGGCACCGAAUUCAGACGCGUCCCGAUAUCCCGCCUCCAGCACCGAAGAGGAGUAGAGUUUUGGUCCUGGAGAAGGAGGAUACUGGUCGUUCUCGACGUUGCCGUCCUAUAAAGUUAGAAUUUUAGCUCCCUAUAGCUCCUUCGAAAGAAAUUCGAUGGCCGACGAUGCACAAGGCUCGACAGGUAGCUGCUGAAGCCAAAUGAUGAGUCCCUUCAAGCACUGUCAUGAUAUAGAAAUAUUUAUAUAGAAAUUAUAAGCAGUAUAUGGAUUGUUUCUUUGGUUGGAUUUGGUGUGUUUUUUGUGUGCUUGUGGAGUCGUAUUAUCAUCUCCACAUUAGUUCACAGGAGAGGAUUCUUUUUUUCUUUUUUUCUUGGUUUUUGUUUUUUUUUUUUCUUUUUUUGAAUUUGUUUGUGAGUUUGGAUUUGAGAUUGUGAGGAAGGGUGCCUAUGACCCUACAUUAAUAUUUACAGUCAAAAGGUGAAAGCUUCUAUGUUCAUAGAAGGCAAAAAGAGAGUGGUAAGGCACUCUUUUCUCUACUGUUGAGUGCAUAGGAUUCUUUCUUGUGAUGAUGAUGAUGAUGUUGUAUUUCUUGUACAAGCUCAUAUCUUUGUUUUACACCUCUUUUGCAAUUUGUUCCUCUUCUAGUAUAUGAACUGAGACUCCAAACACCUGAAGGACCACUUCAUUUUCAGAACCUAGAAUAUAUAUAUAUAUAUAUAUAUAUAUAUAUAGGAAAUAGGAAAUUCUUUAGAACAUAGCUUCAUGUUCACAAAAGCAGCAGUUAACAUCAUAGCCUUUUUGAAUAGGUUAGUUACUGCUUUGGAUCUUUUCUUUUCUUUUUUUUUUAAUUGUCAGAUAAACACUUUUUUGAUCUUUAGGUAUAUACAGACAAUUAAUGCCUUUGAUACUCCUUAAGUAGGACCCAAAGGAGGAGAAAAUGAAACACAUCUAAAAAAGAAAAGAAAGAAAUUGGUAGGGAAUAUUGCUCUUUUGCUUUAUGAAUGUACUGAAUUCAUGUCUCUCUGUUCACUUUUAAUAAUAGUGUUUGGGAUGUGAGAAUCACUUCUUUUACUAUAUAAAAUCUAUGCUGACCCUUAACAAAAGGGAAUGAGGUAUAAAUUUCAUUUUCCUAAGUUUGCUGAAUAUGAUGGUUAUAGUACAGAAGCAGAUCAUUUCCUUUUUUUAGGAUACAUAGAAUAUAAUUUUAGUUAAUACAUCUUGGUGACUUCAGGAUUUUUUUUUUUUUUUUUUUUUUUUUUCAGUUGCAAAUCUCACAUACCAAUAAAAUUUACAGAAUGGAACCAAGAAAGAUGAGACCCUCCAAAACUGUCUAUGUUGUCUCUUUUCCAGAGUUAAGAUUGUAGACACAACAUACAUCGCAAAUGAAAAAAAGGGAAAAAAAAAUAAAGAAAUUUAAACUCCUGAUGCCAGGUCACACAGAUCAGAAAAGCAAAAUGUAAUUAAGAAACUUUACCAUUCUCAAACACAACAGCUAGUAUGAUAAGAGAAGACAAAGGACCAACCAACCUCCUGUUUGUGCAGCUUGAAUCAUGAGAACAUGAAAUGAGUCCUCCAUUCACUUUCAUCUUGAAGUUCAGUCACAUCACAUAUGAAUAAUUAAGAGCACUUAUGACUUAAUAAGGUGUAUCGAAAUGCAUACACAGACAUUACAUACACACAUCGAGUUGGCGCAUUAGAAUAGAUGCUUUCAUUUUUUGGCGCAUCAGAUAUGUAUGCAGGUAUGGACACAGUUUGGAAAUUAUGUACAUGCGAAAAAAGCAAACUGACUGUUUAUUGGUUCCUACAUCUUCCAAAUCUUACAAUGUCUACUUUAGAAAAAAAACAAACGAAAAGAAAAGAAAAGAAAAAACUCUUACAAUGCCGAACUCUACACAAACUAUACAAGUCUAACAUAUAUACAUCAGUCAGGUGUACCACAAUAAUAUCAAUAGCCAUCUGAUGAACCCCAAGUUCUCAAAGCUUGUCCGUGACACUGCAACCACUAUCAUCAACCUUCAACUUACCACGCCCGUUGAUCCUCCCAAAUAAGCUUAUGGCCGAAGACAAGCCUUUCAAGCUGCUACUCCCUUCAUUUAAUUUCCGAGUCCUCUUCGAUAUCCUUGCCCUUAAGUUCUUGUCUCCCUCCGCAUUAUUUUUAACAUUGGCCACCACCAACUGGGUUGUAAGGAUCCGGCAGAAGGGGCAGGAUGGUGCGGAUAAGUGUGAUGUCACGGGAUUGGGCUUGCUGUGGCAGCAAAGGGAGAGCAUGCAGUAAGUGCACAUUUGGUGACCAGUCUCGGACUUCAAUGGUGCAUGCUUGGUCAAAGCAGAUGCAACAGAGCUCCGCAUCACUCGUCUACAAGAGAGAGAUUGAAUCUAACGGUUACUCCGCUUCAGGAAAAUAUCUAGCUGGGGAAACUUUCUUAUCCCUGGGUUAUCCUGCAAUCCCAAUUCCCGAGAAAAACAUAUAUAAGGUUAAUUUUCUGUCAGCAAAUUAACAUACGUACACUUCCAAGUACAUAAUCUAGUUCAUCGAUGCCCUUCAAAAUUUGGAAAUAUCACAAAUGACCCUUGUGUGUGUGUGCGUAUUUGAUUUUUAUAUAUGCUCUCCAGGAACCACAUUUUUUAUUAUUUAUGUAUAUUUACAUAGAGAAUAUGAGGGAUAAUUUGAGUUAUGACCAUACUGUCCUCAAAAUAAAUGAGGCCUAACUGAUCUUCUGAUAUGGCUUGUGCUCUACAAUCAAGCCAGUAUGUCUCCGAAAUCCGAUCCUGUUCGAAGUGAAGCACACGAGAAAUUACAAAAACAACGGAGAGAACAAAGGCAAUUUGUGACUAAUAUUCCAAUUAGCCGAACCAUACGUAAAGAAUGGAAUACCUCAGAGUCGUCGUCAGCGCGAACAUCAAUUCCAGCAUCUGAAUGGACAGGUGAUGGCAAGGAAUAUGCUGGUCCCUUUCAAAAUGUUCCUCUCUCUUUUCCGGUUGGCAUCAAUGCAGUUCAAAAGAUAAUCAGCAGCACCGAAAUGCUUACCCAGAUGAAUCCUUUUGUUUCUGAUUCGCUCCCCACGCGAGGAGAUUCCUAACACAAUCUAGACACCCUUUUCUAGCUGCCAGGUGAAGAGAUGUACUUCCAGGGUAAUAGUAAUUUGUUAUUUUGGUCAAUCUAAUGGAAAAAAUCACCUAAGGACUGAAAAAGAAGAAGAAGAAAGAAAUCGAGUACUGCUCUGGGUUUACCUAUAACUAUCUGUCAUAGCACAUACAAGAGCCCCAUUGUCCAAUAGCAUACGAAUGCAAUCCGGUCGCCCUAGUCGCACAGCGAGGUGUAAUGGCGUAGCCCCACUACCAUCUCCAACAUUCAUGAAACGGGUGAAUCCCCUAUAAUUCGACAAAAAUAAUCAAAUAAAACAUGUAAGCUAAAUCUAUCAAAAUGGAAGAUCUUAAAAAUCACGCAAAAUAUACCCACCAAGAAUCGGCAACCGAGCUCAAUCGCGCGGCUAUAAGAAUCGCUUGCAAGCAAUCCGAAUGGCCAUAAUAUGCAGCAUAAUGCAAGCAAGUUCUCGCAUGUCAUGAAUCAAACAACAAAAUCUAGUCCGAUUAAGGAAACAAACUUGGUAAUUAGUUUGGGAACACGCAAUAUAUAGAUUACAAACAAGAAUAGUGAAAAACAGAAGUGAACAAGUAAACAUCAUACAUUUGCGCCGGCUUGAAGGAGUGCACGCAUCCAUUACAGAUAACAUCAGCGGGCUCUUAGACCAACAUAAUUCCAAUACUAAAUUUAUCAACAAAGCUAAAUAAGAGUCUAAAAAUCAUAAAAACGAUACUUUUAUGCAAUCAACCUACUUGCUUACGCCGGUUGAGUGAAUCAGGGUGGACAGACAUAUCCAGAAACAUUGACAGAACCUGAAACCAGCCCAAACCAGAAAACCCGAAUCCCCAAACUGAGUCAGUUGCGCUGUUGCAUAAAAGAUCAGUUUUUUAUAACAAACAGACCCCUGUUCUGAGUAAUGAUGCUAUUAGCAGAAAUGCUACAAUACAACUACCUUAGCAGAUUAUUUCUGCACUGGAAUCGAAAACGCUGAAAUUAAAGAUUCUACUUUUAAAGCUCGGAAUCUCAUUGCUGAUUGUCAGUACAGCAGAAGCUUCUCUUCACCGAAUGCUCUACUAGAGUCUGCUGGUGUAGACAGGAAAAGUACCAAAACAAGUUAAAAAUUAAAAUUUAACCCAUUAAAUAGUGAGUGUUCUUAUGACCUGUUCUGAUACUAUGUUACUUAAAAAAGUGAUCUUUACAGUAAACGGUUCAGAAUUAGUCUAAACACGAAAAGAAACCGAAGGAGCUUAACAACCUCGAGGCGCCCAUCGGAGGCGGCGAUGUGGAGGGGGGAUUGGCGAUUGAAGAAGGUGGUGCUGUGGAUAGCGGAGGGUGCUCUCCGCAGAGAACACGCCGCCGCGUCCGAGUCCCCGGCGCGAACGGCUCGGAAGAGCUCGCGCUCCGAGCCGCCGCGGCUCCAUGUUAGCGCGCUCCUGCGCACGGCGCGCUGCGGCGCACGUUAGCCCCUGUCGAGCUCCGGUGGGGCCGCGGCGGAGGAGAGAGAGAGAGAGAGAGAGAGAGAGAGAGAGAGAGAGAGAGAGGUGCGGAGACGAGCUCACAAAGGAAGGUUAGCAGUUUUUUAAGGUAAAUGUUAAAGAGGAGGGAUGCAAAUGGAUCAGGGUUCGAUUCCGAUCCGUUUUAAAUAAAGUUGUGAGUAUAAGUCAAAAAAAUUUUUUAAAAAUUUACGCCUAUAUCGACUAGACCAGAACAAAAUAACUAAAAAAAUAAAAAAAUAUAAUAAAAAUUAAUUUGUCACGAAUCUAGAACCCUCCAGUCUCGGAACCCGCAUUGUUUGCAUUUGUAAAGAGUAGUUUUCACUCUCCAGUUUGUGGUAAUGGAUCGGGUUACCACUUCGAACAGAAUUAUACAAACUUCGUUACCAGAGAAUUGGAUUUGGCUAAAUUCCACUGCACUGUAUUAUCAUAUAUUUUAGUUGUUUUCUCACCUCUCAUAUAUAAUGUAUUAUUUUUUUCACGAAUAUUACUGCAUUUCACACCAGACGCUAAUAAACAGAAACCACGCGAACUGUAGUACUCUAACGACGUAGUGCAGCUAUUUAGAGGACCAAAGCCAAGCAGAAGCAGCAAAAUCUAUAAUUGGGCACUGGGGUCUACUAUUAACAGUUGGUAACAUGGCGACAUGCACCGUGCUUUUGCGACACAAGGGCCCGUAUAUUAUGAGGGGGCUCGCGAGAAUCGUCCUCCUGCGGUAGCAUCUGAAGGGAUGUUAUCUUGCGGGCUCAAGAAUUAACUAAUGGAAUGCGCUGCAUCAGAAGUAGAUUGGAGUAGAAUUUGAACUGCAGCAAUCGAUUUAUUUGGAUGCAGACUCUGUGCGCGUCUAUUCGAUUAGUUGAAUUAAAUAGAGCAGCAUUCUGCUGGUAGUAGAGUCACAGUCGAAAUACGUAAGCGCUGUGUAUAUUAUACACACAACACACUUUAAAUGUAAUGGGUGCGUCACUUUGUUCAGCUCGUAGUGCUUUCGAUCCAUACUAAUUGAUAUUUUAUGGACUGUAGCUGGGCCUUAGAUGCUGCCCAUUAUUGCAUGCAGUCCGAUGUUCGACACCUGGACUUUAAUAUUCGUGAAGAUGACGCCCAGGUCCAUUUUUGAUUUUGGAAAGGCCCUCGUAGAACUAUAAAUGGGCCUUAAAAGUCCAAUGAGCCCAUAGCCUCGAGGAUCCGUUCGGCCUACUAUUGCAUGUAGUCCGAUUCCUGACACCUGGACUUUAAUUGUCGUGCCCCUGGAUGCAUCGGCAGCGUCGUCUAACGCAGUAUUUAGGGUUUUACUCCGCUCAUUACGGCUCUGGUCGACGUCGGCGUCUAGGGUUCCCUCCGGCUCCUCCAAGGUAAGAAGCGUCUCUCUUCGAUCCUCUUCCUCCUCCUCUUCUCCCACCGUCCCCAAAAUCGUAACUUGAAUCCUUAAUGCUACUCGUUGUUUGAUAUUUGGAAGUGAUUUAGUUGGUGAUUUCGGUUCAUUUUUGAAGUGAUUCAGUAGGCGCUUCUUCGGUUUCGAAGCAAAUUUUUUUUUUGUUGAUUUAUUGAUGAUGAUGAUGAUGAUUAUGAUGUUGAUGGACUUUGGAUUUGUUCAAUUUUCAUGAAUCUCAUCUAAUAUCUAUUGUUUGUGAACUAGAGUGCUAUUGCGAUGGCUCCUUCGCAGCCGAACAGUGGUCUCUUCGUUGGACUCAACAAAGGGCACAUUGUCACCAAGAGGGAGAUCCCUCCUCGCCCUUCGAGUAGAAAAGGGGUAUGAUCUGAAUCCACUUAUGGAAAUCGAUCACUUUUCUGUAUUAUUAUGUAGAAAAGUUGAAUACUUCAUGCUUACUUGAUUUGUUCUUUUGUUUAGCCAACAUUUCUCUCGAUUUUAUAGUUCAGUAUAAGGUUCAUUGUGUUGCUACAAUGACACAUUUAUUGUCUCUAUAUUGUGCUUGUGUUUUCUGAGAAUCAAUACGACAGGGGAAAUGUAGACUCUGAAUAACUGCGAAAAAAAAAAUUUGGUGUCACAAGUUCGUAUGGUAGUGUUUUUUGACAAGUUCAUAUGGUGUCAUAUUUGGUAAAAGGUAUACUUAGAUAUCUAAAUGUUUUACUCAGGUGUCAUCAGAUAUAUAAUUCAUUCCGUAUUUAUUCAAUCAUUAGAAGUUGCAUAUUAUUUUAAUGGGAUAGUGGUCGCCAAUAUGACACCCUCUCUUUCUUUCUCUCGAUGACAUCACGGAUAUCUUGCAUAAAGCUGCAAGAACUUUGAUUCAGUAGAAGCUAGUUCUGUUUCUAAUGGAAUGAGCUUAUUUGGUAGUCAAGGAUAUGUUUGUUGUGAACAUUUCUUGCAGAGUUCAUCAGAUGUUUGAUGGGAAUUGUUACUUUGUGAAUUAUUUCUGAAGCUAUAAUCUAAUUUUUUUAGGGACUUGCACUGUAGUUUUACCACCUUUAAAACUCAAGUUAUACAUUUCCAUGGUUAAUUAGUUACCUCACUUUAUGUGCUCUUUAGACUUUACAUUUUAAAGUAUUAUGUACAUUGUGGAAGAGAACAUGUAACUUAUCUUGUCAUAACCUGGUUACUAGUGUACUGUUCAUGUCCUUUGCUUGGUUGGUCUAAACUUGAAGUGUAAUAAGCGGUGAGAUGUUAUAUUUCAGAAAACUAGCAAGAGAGUGCACUUUGUCAGGAGCUUGAUCAGAGAAGUAGCUGGGUUUGCUCCCUAUGAGAAGCGGAUUACUGAGCUUCUGAAAGUUGGAAAGGACAAGCGUGCAUUAAAGGUGGCAAAAAGAAAGCUCGGCACUCAUAAGAGAGCAAAGAAGAAGCGUGAGGAGAUGGCUAAUGUUCUUAGGAAGAUGAGGUGUGUUUUAUUUAUUUAUGUUUGCUUUCUCAUUUUGGUUCCUGCAACAUAUAUGGUGUGGCUAUUUCUUACUUAUAGCAAUUUGAUGGCCUCUGAUGACUGAUGAGGCACAUAUACUACUACUUACAAGAUUAUACCUGGUUGACUAAUCGAUUAUUGAGUUUAAAAUGAUGAGUCAAUGUUCAACUAAGGAAGUUCUAUACGUUGUUAUUUUUACUUGAACUUGGUGACUAAAUUUUGCUCGUGGUUAGAACAUAAGAUAUAUAUAUAUAUAUAUAUAGUAAUAAUCAUUUGACUGUGACUGACUAGUGGAGGUUUGCUGAUGGGUCUAACAAAAGCGUUUUUCAUUUCGACAGGUCUGGUGGGGUGUCUGAGAAGAAGAAAUGAAACCAAGCAGUCACAUGCUUUUCUUCUCGGCAGGAGGAAGCUUAGAUUACACAAUUCUGAUUAAUCUUUGAGACAUUUAUGAUGUUGCUUUCCAAGGAGAGACUUUUUAACCGAGAUUCUACCUUCUUUCAUUCUUGCUCAUCGCAGCAAACUUGGGUUUUUGAUGUUAUUUCGCGACUUCCACUUUUUUCAGUGUUGUUCUGCAUUAUGUGAUGCGCAAAGAGUUGUGAAAAAUAUUGAGAAAGUUGUUCUUCCUUGCUGGCAUCUUCAACAACAGCAGUAAUGUGAUUCUUUUACUUAUUAUUCCGCAUUUGCGCUGUGCUCUUUAACCACCAAUUGUGAACAAGAAUAAAUAAAAUUUCGAGACAUUUAAGUCCCAACUACAGAAGAAGACUCAAAGAGGGGAAUGAACAUUUUGGCAACUGCUCGGUGAAGUAAAACUUCAUGGAAAAAGAGGAAAGUGGUGUAGAUCUUGACAGGGAAAGGAAGAACGUUUUCGGAUGAUCUAAAAUCUACUUAAAAGCAUGAGAAGCUGAGACGAAUAAAUUGAUUUGGUGUUGUUUGAGGAUCUUGUUGGAGCUAAUGAAGGACCAAAUAUGUGUGAUGGGGCCUAGCAAGCAAAGACAGAUUAACUAACACAUUGACUAAAUCCACUACUCUAUUUAGCAUUCAUUUUAACCACAUUUACAGAGUCAACAUCUUAGCAUCAUUAUCAUGACAAGCUUACUCCAUUAUUACGCGUUAAACUAAGAUCUAUGCUUUGAGCUUUCCACGUUUGACGAGUUCAAAUCAUAAAUGUUAUAGCAAAGACCAAUAUUGAUACCUAACCGAAUAUUUUUCAUGUUUAUUUAACAAAUUUAACAAAAAAAUUAUAAAUACUAAGUUGGUCGGCAACUCCUUUUCAGGAGAUUAGCUAAUAUAUUAAUUUAUCACAUGUCAUAUCAAACCUGUUUCUUGCAUUAAUUGCAUAUCGUAUUUGGCCAACUAGCACCAUUUUUCUUUUUCUUUUUUUGAUUUUUUUAAAGACUAGCACCAGUUAGUUUUCAACUUUUUCUCUGACAACAUAAAGAAACAUUAGAACCGUAAAAAUAAAAAUAAAAUAGAAGUUUAUUUAACUUUGAUUUGGUUUUGAAAAACUAUUGAGCUACGAGAUUACAAAGAUAGGUGCAUGAGAAAGAAAUGGAGGCGAUAUGGUCGCAAGAUGCAGCAAUAAAAGGAGUCCAGCUACUAUACUCUUAUAUGGUCGCAAGAUGCAGCAAUAAAAGGAGUCCGGCUGCUAUACUUUUAUAAGUACGAUCGUCUUUGUAUUCAUAAGUCGUUUUCGAUGAUAAAGCUUCCGAUUCAACAAUCCAUAUCGUUAAAUAUUUUUUAGAGCAUUUAAAAUUUCUAGAAAUCAAAUUUCAUUAUUUUUCGACAUCAUUUACCUUACGAUCAAAAGCUUACAAAAUUGAUAAUUUUUAACGACCGGUAGAAAAUAUUUGCUAGUUUAACAGUGCAAAAAAAUCAGAAUAGGUUAUAUUUUUGAUAGAAAAUUCUAUUCACUAUCUAGAUAAAGACCAAUAACUUCGAUCUUAAAUUGAAGAAUCUGAAUUUUUAGGACGUCGUUCGAUUUUGAUCGUUCAUUUUAUACCGGCGUGAUGGACUUUAUUAUGAUUUCGAAAAAUUACAAAAUUUAUUUUCUACAAGUUUCAAAUACUCUAGAUUAUAUUUAACUGAAUGGAUCGUUAAUUCGAAAGUCGCAUCAUCGAAAACAACUUAUGAGUACGAAUGGCCCAAUAUUCAUAAGAGAAUAGUAUUCCUACUCCAAUAAAAAUUCUAUAUCUUAAUAAAAUUACGGAAUAUUUAUUAUAAACAUUUUUUUUUAUUAUAUUCUCACCGAAAAAAAAGACCAAAAAAAGAGAGAGAGAGAGAGAGAGAGAGAGAGAGAGAGAGAAACAACUCGAACACCAAUUUUCUAAUUUUGUAAAAAAAUUUUUAAAUUUGGAGUAGAUACGUACAUCACCUCUUACUUAGUUUAGUUCGAUCCAUGGAGGGAGACGAUAGGAGACCCUUGCCCUCGUCGUCGUCGGCGGCGGCGGCGGCGGCGGCGGAGGCGGUGGUGGUGGCGCUCGACGCGGCGAGGGAGCUCAUGGGGUUCUGCGGCGAGGGGANAAAAUUUUUAAAUUUGGAGUAGAUACGUACAUCACCUCUUACUUAGUUUAGUUCGAUCCAUGGAGGGAGACGAUAGGAGACCCUUGCCCUCGUCGAUCCCCGCGGCGGCGGCCGGAACCCUAGAGCCGCUCGCGGAGGCGCUCGACGCGGCGAGGGAGCUCAUGGGGUUCUGCGGCGAGGGGAGCAAGAUCUUUUUGGUAUGGUAAAGCUCGCGUUUUGGUUGGUUUUGUUUCCAUCUUUUGUUCGAAUUUUGGGGAUUAGUUUGAUUUGAUGGUUGAACUCGCAGCUCUGGUUCACUUUGAUUUCCUUUUAUUGCCGAGAUCUCGGUUGUAUUAGGAGCAACUUUACUGAUAGUGAUCAUCUAGGUUAUCUAAUUUGUUCACUAAUUUUGUCGUGUUUUGCAUAUUUUUGCAAUUCUGAUAACUAGUGUAGUUGAAUUCGAAGUUUUGAACUAUCCAUGGUUUGUUGCACGCUAUACUGUAUUUUGUUCAGAUUUUUUUUUUUUUUGAAUUAAGUGUAUUCGUUAUGUGAAUUCUCAGAGGCUGGUAGAUUCUGGUUAAUGUCCAUUUACAGGGAUAAACUAUUGUUGUAAUUUUGUUUGUGCAUCUGUGUGCAGAGGAAAAUGAAUAUUCCGAAGUAUCAAAUUUGAGCUCUUGACUCGUUCUCUUUCCAAUAAAUUGCGGAGAUGUAGGCUUAAGAAUAGUACAGUUCUCUGUCAGGGUUUGCUUGUUUACACUUUAAGAUUAAGAUAAUCAGGGAUGUUAAGUAAUGAUUUUUCCUUAAUAUUAUUAGGAUCAAAUUCUGAAAAUUUUCUGUCGCCAACCAAGUCAAUUGUCCUUUGGUAACUGCUUGGAAGAAAAUUAUUUGUACCUGGAUUUUAUUAUGGUUGCUUUUCGCAUAAAUAUUAUCAAUUCUAUGUGAUUUGCUCUAACUGUAAGUUUGCAAAGCAAAUGAUCUCAACAUUGUGGCAAUCAAGUAGCAGUUCAUUGUACCGCCCAUACCAACUUAUUUCUUUCUAUUUAUCUCUCCCUGUUUCCACUCUUUAAUCUUUAGCAGCCUGGUAUGAUAAUGGAAAUACUUUAUUUUGCGUGUGGAACGAUAUGGCAAAAGGGAUUCAUCUGCUAGCUUUUGCACAAUCGCUUGUAAGAAUGCACCCAACGUAGUGUUCAUCCAGAAGAUAGGGAAAUGAUCUCUUUCUCUUUCCUUUUGUGUAACUCAAUAUUUGUUUCCAAUGGAGAAAACUCAUCAGUCAAAAAUCUUUAAUGGUAUUUGUUCAUAGACAUUUUUCUGAAUCCCUUCAGAUUUGUGAACCUCAUAAUAUCCUUUCAUUUGAAAAUUUUGAAGUUUCUGAAUGUUAACCUAAAUAUAAGAGAAAUAAGAAUGCCUAUAAUAUUUUCCAGCCUUGAUUCAGCUUGUUGAUGCUUUUGUGUCUAAUUCUUUUAUCAUUUCCUUGGCCUUAUUAUGUGGAAUGACUUUCAUUUCUUAUGGUUUCUUAAAGAACCUAGAAGUACUCUUAGAUCACCGAACUUGGCGUAAUGUCAUAUUCUUUAGUUUAACCUAUUCGCACUUGCAGUGUAUUCAGUCUCGAACUCAACCUAUGUCACUUAUUAUACUUUUGUACUCUUAAUGAGUGACUAGAUUCACUCUCAGAGAAAAAUAACAUGGCUAUUUGUACAAAAGUUUUGAAAUUACAGUUUGCUUUGAUGUGUCGGCUUGACUUAGGGAAGUGCAAUUUUAUUUUCCUUCCCUGAUCUUUUCCUCUCAUCAUUUGCAGGUCCUUGAGAAAGACACCGUAAUGAAAAGGUUUCAGGAAGUAUCUUCUCAGUUAGAACAAGCUUUGGGUCAAAUUUCUUUUGACGAUCUUGACAUAUCAGAUGAAGUUAGAGAACAGGUAAGUAACUUAUGGCAAUCUCUUUAAAGUCUCUAUAGACAUUACUCUUCCUUAAAUUUGUAUCAUUAAUCUCUUUUGGCACAUUCUCAAGAGUACUUCUUCUUGAAGAUAAGAGUUUUCUGUUAAUUCCUUAAUAUGUCAGUAUCUAAUUGAGAGAUGUUUUAACAGGUUGAGCUUGUGCAUGCUCAACUAAAGAGAGCCAAAGAACGAACUGAUAUGUCGGAUUCAGAGCUUCAUACUGAGUUAUUAUCCCUAUAUAACAGGACCAAGGAGGUCAACAUAGACCCAUCGAUCCUUGAAAGAUUAUCAGAAAAGCUACACCUGACUACAAUUGCUGAUCUCAAACAAGAAUCGCUAUCUUUGCAUGAGAUGGUAAUUGCCAGCGGCGGCGGCGAUCCGGGAGAGCAGAUUGAGAAGAUGUCGAUGCUGCUAAAAAAGAUCAAGGAUUUCGUGCAGACACAAGACCCUGAAAUGGGCAGUGUAGCAAAUCCGAAAUCUCUGCUUCUUGAUAGGAAGCAAAAAACUGCAGUAAUUCCAGAUGACUUCCGCUGUCCUAUAUCCCUGGAUUUGAUGAAAGAUCCAGUAAUUGUGGCCACUGGUCAGGUAACUUUUAAUUUAAAUAAAAUCAUAGAGACCUUACCUGAAGUAUAGCUGAUUUUGAUAGGGCAUCUACACUCUUGAAGCUUUGAUUCUACUACCUACCCUUAAAAGUUGACAAUUUGUUUGAUUUAUCUGGUUCACCAGCAAAACUUAAUAGUAUUCUUAAAUUUUUAGCAGAAUAUUGUAAAACCUAACCACGUAUUCUGUUCACUUACGGAAGUUUUUAUCGCUAUUUUGACCGAAACCUUUAAGUUCCAACAAAAUUUGCCAGGAAUUUUGGAAAUCAAAAGUAAUGGAAGGUGAGAUAGUAAACUCAAUACUUAUGAAAGUUUAGGUAUCCAUGUUAAUACACACUGUAAAUUCAGAUAAAUUCUAUAAGUUUUUUACCUUCUAUUCAUGGUAAUCUUGGUUUUUAGAGGUAUUAAGCAGUGUACUAUGAUUCAUCUUUCAAAUUUUUUAGCUAUUCUUUUGUCCAUCCAGACAUAUGAGAGAGCAUGCAUUGAGAAGUGGCUAGCUUCAGGCCACAACACAUGCCCAACCACGCAACAAAAGCUGGUUCACACCUCAUUGACCCCAAACUAUGUUUUAAGAAGUCUCAUCGCCCAAUGGUGUGAAGCGAAUGGUAUUGAACUGCCCAAGCGACCUUGCCAACCUAGUAAUCCUACCUCUUCAUCAUGCUCCUCAAAAGAACAUGCUAAUAUACAUGCUCUUCUCCGUAAGUUAUCUUCUCCGAAGCCCGACGACCAGCGAUCAGCUGCUGGGGAGCUGCGUCUCCUGGCCAAGCGCAACUCUGACAACCGCAUCUGUAUAGCCGAGGCUGGUGCAAUCCCCUUACUGAUAAAUCUACUCUACACCACCGACUUACGGAUCCAGGUUUGAAGGAUUUUUUUUUUCUUUAACUAAUGUAAGCUGCUAGAAGACACUGUUUUUUAAUAUUUUAUGUACUAAACACCAGGAACAUGCUGUUACUGCCCUUUUGAAUCUCUCCAUCCAUGACGACAACAAGGCAGGCAUAGUUUCUUCAGGGGCCGUGCCAGGCAUUGUCAAUGUAUUGAAAAACGGCAGUAUGGAAGCACGGGAGAAUGCCGCUGCCACUCUCUUUAGCCUUUCAGUGGUGGAUGAAUAUAAGAUAAGAAUCGGGGAAUUGGGGGCCAUACCAGCCCUCGUGUCGUUACUAAGCGAAGGGACUCAGCGUGGGAAAAAGGAUGCAGCAACUGCCCUUUUUAACUUGUCCAUAUAUCAGGGGAAUAAGGGGAAAGCGGUUCGAGCGGGUGUCGUCCCACUAAUAAUGGGGCUAUUGACUGAUCCAUUGGGUGGCAUGGUGGAAGAGGCUGCGGCGCUGCUGGCAGUGCUGGCAAGCCACCCAGAGGGGAAGACGGCAAUUGGGGAGGCUGAGGCUGUGCCAGUGCUUGUAGAGAUGAUUGGAAUGGGGUCAGCAAGGAGUAGAGAGAAUGCGGCUGCUGUUCUUUUACAUCUUUGCUCUGGGGAGCAGCAACUCAAGUAUUUAGCUCAGGCACAGGAGUGUGGGAUGAUGGGGUCACUAAGGGAGCUAGCAGUGAAUGGCACGGGGAGGGGAAAGAGGAAAGCGGUGCAGUUGCUUGAACGAGUGAGCCGGUUCGUGAUACAGCAGCAAGAGGAACAGGCUCAAAUUUUGACUUUGGCUCAAGCUGGGACUCAGUUCGAUGUCCAUGAUCAAGUUGAACAUGCAGAGCAUCCAUCUUCAGCAGUUCUUAUUGAUCGGUAACAUUUGUCUCGUCGCAUUGUUUGUACACAUUCUUCCUUGUGGUUAGGAGGUUUGAUCUCAAGAUAAGGUGGUAACCUACCUGCUCUUUAAGAUGUGCUUUUACUCUGUGUUCAAGUUGGAAUGUGCUAUAUGCAUUCUUGAAUAGAUGUGCCAAUGGUUGUCCAUCGGCUGGGUUUGGAGUGUAACAUACACAAGUUGUGGUGGUGUAUAUUUAGUUUGGGAGUACUAUAUGUUUAUUGAACGGUCGUCAAGCCUAUUACUUGUAGCUAGAAUUAUUAAACAUCUUUGUGAAUGCAGUUAUUUGUGUUCUGUUAUGUGUGUAUGGAUAGAAUCCUUUUGGGAUGUGGCUAAUGGAUAAUUCUACUGUUAAUUGAAUUAGAACAAAUUAGAUUCUAUCACAGGGUCAGUAGACACAUGUAUCAACCCUCUUUUUUGAGGGAUUAACUUAAGUAAUCUUCUAGGUAUCUUCUUAUUAGACUGAUCAUUUAACACACCGCAUACGAUGUCUCUUCAGGUAAAUUUAAAAUCACACCCUUUUCCUUUUUUUCCUUUUCCAUUGCAUAUUCUUUGAUCCUCAAUUGCAUUAAUUGGUCCUUCAAUGUUGACGCAAGCGAGCUACUAAUGUGAUAUUAUCUUAGGUACUGUUCACUUAACAGAGAUUUAUAUUGGCUUGUUGAAAUAAGGUUGCUAGCAACGGUAGCUGAUCUAUCUGUGGAAUAGCAAUGCAGAUUUUCAGGUAAAAUCUGUAACUUCGAGAUUUUUGUGAACUUUUUUCUGUUUCGAAGAAUGUAACUACAAUUGUGUAUACUGCUGUUUUGAAAUGUAUGUGUAGUAAUUGCUAUAUGUCCUGGUUAAAUGGUAGCACAACUUAAUGGGCGUUCUCCUACUUUAAUGCGACCCAGCAGCCAAAUUGUUUUGCUCCAAGCUCAUGAAAACAAUUAAAUAGAGAAAUAAACCAAACAAUGAAUAAAGAUAGAUACAAAAAUAAUAAAAGCUGGUACAUACAUAAUAUUUCCAAGUGGUUUGUGACCAAUAGCAAUGAUAAUCUCUAGGGUCCUUUCUUUUUUCUUCUGUGAAAGAUUUGGUUCGUAGCAGUAGGAAGUGACAGUACGAGGUGGAUAAUGAGUAUAAUAGAAGUGUGGCUUUUUGACUCAGGUGACCGAGGCUUCUUAGAAAGAGAAAGCGAGAGCUCCGUUAUCCAUUUAAGCAGCUUCGUUUUCCAUGUAAGUAGUCGAAGCUGUCUCCCUUUCUUUUAUUAAAAAUGCUAUUGUACACUAAAAAGUUGGGCGCAAAUCUUACAUAUGCUUCUUUUGAAUUUUUAAUAUUAAUAGAAAGGAUGGAUAAGAUUAAAGUGAAAAAUAUGACUUUUCGAUGAAGAGCGUGUAAAAUUUAUAUCUACUUUCGGAAUGUGCAAGGAAUAUUGCUCUUUAUGUAUUAUGAUAUACUACUUGGUCUUAUUAUAAUUGUAAAAUCUAACUAGGUAGUGACUCUCCUUUGUAAGGUUUUAUUAUUAUUAUGAUAUUGUAUUAUGAUAUUUCUUCUUUUUUCUCAUCCUGAGAUCUCUGCAGUGAGGAUUAACUAAAAGUUGAUGAAUAUUACGAGUGAGUAGAAAUGCUUGCGCAUAAAGUUACUCGAGGAAUAUGCUUUGAAAUUUAUCAGGAAUGUAAUAUAAUUUUGAAAAUUCCCAACAUAAGUUUGAACAGAUUCAAUCUUAGGUAACAUCCAAGUUUCAAUUCUGUUAUCUCAGUGUGCUUUUCUGCAGCUAUUCUGUGCCCCAGUGCCUAUUGUGAUGCCUAUGGAAUAUAGAUAGGCAUCAAUUAUCCUUAGGACUUGUCGGUUUUAAGCUUUUCCUUAAGCACCGUUUGAUUAGUGCUGCUCAAAAAUCACUUUAAUGGUUAUUAAAAUACAUUCAAUUACUUCUCACCUCUUUUGUCAUUCGUAACGUGGAAAUGCUAUUUCAGAACCUAGGCUAAGCUAUUUUUUCGUGUCGACAAUGUGUGUAGGUCCCCAUACCUUGGAGCUCCUCUUCUUCAAUCAGUGUAUAUUAAAUUCAAGCCUGGGAGUUUUGAGGCCCAAAUUUGGAGACGCCGACAGGAUUGACCGUCUUUCACCUUAUCACCAGGCUACUACUAGGUAAGUAAAUGCGGAAUUUUCCUUUCACAUAUGAACUUCACAAGGGAUGGUAUGGAUCUAUUUCUAUUUCUAAAUCAAUUUCAUUAAGUUGAAUCAAAUAGUAGUAUAAAUUUGCUAGUUGUGAACAUCACAAUCAGGUAUCCUCCCAACUCCCUAUGUCAUAGUGUUUCAAGAAGCAGAGUAACAAAAAUAUCUUCACUUGAAAGUACCACUACUACACCACUGGUGCAAAAAGCUUGCACAUUCCUAGUUAAAAACCAACUCUGGUGAAAGGGGCUCAUCAGAGUCCCCCAAUAUAUGAUGUGAGGGAGCUUAGCAAUCAUCCCCAUCACCAAAGAUUCCAGAGUCAAAUCUGCUGCGACAUGUCUAGGACAGCAUCAAAGCCUAUCUAAUCCCAUCCAUUUCCCCUAAAGCCUGAGAGGGCUCUAGAAGUUCUCAAAAGCACAAAAACACACACACACACACACAAACUUUAAAAAAUAAAAAAUUAAAAAUAAAAAAUAAAUCUGAAUCUAUUAUAUAUAUAAUAAAUAUGAGGAAGGUGUAAAGAUAUAAGAAGUUUAAUUAGAAUUCUCUCAGAUGCAUUAAAGUUUGAUAGGUUACCAAUGAAGUUAGGAAUAGAGUAAAAUGAUUGAUGCAUUAUUCCAAUCAAGUAUAUCAUUAACCAUUGGAACCUUUAUAUCUUACAUGGGAAUUGUGCUUCGACUAGAUGUACUCGACACACACACACACACACACAAAAAGUAAGAUUUUUGGGUUGAGAAAACAUUGUGUUAAUUUCGUUCUUUGCUAAGUUGAGAAAAAUCAAAGAAGAAAAUUAAACAGACGGCGCGAUAUCUGCCUUGUAAUCUUUUUUAAAAAUUUUGAGAGGGAUUUUAGAAUAUUUUUUAUUAAUAGCCUUAGAAAAUACUUCAAUGAAUUUUUUUUUUUAAAUACGGUAAAUUAUUCACCUUUUUUUUUUCAAAGAAUUAAACUUAUUUUUAAUGUUUAACACUAUGCAUCUUUUGAAGUUUGGAGAUAAGAAAUAUAUAAAUUAGGAUAAAGGUGGUGAAUUAUUCAUCGUUUUUAAAAAAUAAUAAAUGAUUCACCGCUUUUAACAGCUUAUUUUUAUAAAUAAAAAUUUUAAAUGUCUAUUUUUAUAUUCAAAAAUUUUGUGGGCUUAGUAGUCCAAAAACUCCGGAAUUUAGCUAGUUAGCUAGUUAUUUGUAAGCCUCAAUCCGAAAGAAAUAAGAUUGAAAUGUAAAAAGGAGAGGGAUCAACACUGCUAAGUAGAGACAUGCAUGCUUUAAUAAGAAUUGUGUCUGUUUGCGCGAGUUGCUCUGUUUAGUAUUAAUCGUAUCAUAAAAUUCUAAGCGCUUCUAAAUUACGUGCAUCUUAUCCUGUCAAGAGCAGUAAUAAAUUAGUUUAAAGAACAGUGCUAACUAAUUAGAAACUGAUCAAUCUGGGUAUAUAUCAUGUACAAAACUGGAGCAGAGAUAUAUCUGCAAGUAUUAACAAACGACAACAUUACUGACCGUCCCUAGAGCAAGUGGCAAAGGACUUGGUGGUUGGUAUCCGAGAUUCAAGUUCGAAUUCUAGUUGGUUCAUAUUUUCCAGCUAAGUUUAUUUCUAAAUGAAAUAAACGAAACGGGUAGCAUGCUACCUAUCUUUCUCUCUCAAAAAAAAAAUAAUAAUAAUAAAAAAUAAACGACAACAUCGUACUUGUUAACCAAGUAC
This 55866-nucleotide long non-coding RNA is filed under the name Ananas comosus (pineapple). Its description in RNAcentral is "long non-coding RNA (ACOM_LNC020443)". The record is from RNAcentral. Lineage: Eukaryota; Viridiplantae; Streptophyta; Magnoliopsida; Poales; Bromeliaceae.